UUUUUUUUUUUUUUUUUGAUGAUUUUCUUCUUCUUUUAUGAACUAUGAUUGAUGAUGAAAGGACAAUCAAAACGAGUUAAGAUUGAAUUAUAUUAUUAAAUUAUAUUAUUAGUGAAAGAAUAGUUGAAUUGAGUGAGUUCCAAAUUAUUUCACGGCUUUUCACAAAAUUAUAUAAUUAGAUUCUAACAUUUGUCUGCAUUAUUAUAGUGUGUAAAAUUAAAGUGGAGCAAAGAAAGCAUAAUAAACAGAGACAGCUGAACAUUAGAAGGCAACACCCACCCCCCUAUACUGUGUCCCAGGAGCCACUAGAAGUCUGCAAGAAGCCAUUACUCACCAUCUUACCACCUCAAUAUUAUUGUUGUGGAGAUAAAUUUGUAGGGUUUCUUUCCUUUUUGUUGUUCCGGAUAAAGUGAGGAAACAAAGUUAUAGUCUCAUAUCACACGAAUGUGUGAGGAUAAUUUAAUUGUUGUAGAGUACUUGAGUAGCUUGUAUUUAAUCCUGUUGGACCACUGGUUCGUGCUCAUUAAAUUAAUGAAUCAUUUAUUUCAUCGGGUAGAAUUAUGAUGAAUGAUUACCAUAUACGAGUGAAAAAAAGGACUACCUAAACCCAUGGAAGGGGGGAGAAGUUGGUCAACAUGAGCUGGCCAUAACAUCAGGUCCCCUUCCUUCAGCUUCAUCGACAACAUGAUCCAUCAACCUUGAAUGCUGAAUCUGCAUGGACAAGUGACUCACUACAUCACUGACCCAAUUUGUCCCACACUUGAGAUGGCAAUUGAUCUGAGGAGCCCAACAUAAAAGAACUUGUUUUCCAACCAAACACACCUCUCUCUCUCUCUCUCUCUCAUUGUUCUUCUUCCUGCAGCUGGAUCUAAUUUAGUUGAUUCUUGUAGUGGUUAAAGGGACAGAAAUGGUGAGAGAGAGAGAGAGAGAGAGAGAGAGAGAGAGGGAGAUCAUCAUCAUCAUUUUACUGCAUGAAAUAUGAGUCAAAUGUCUGCCAAAUCCAUCUUUCCACAUCUCAAUGAGGACCACAUCCCUCAACCAUGAACAUGGCUGUCUACUUCAUAAUUAAAGCUAAGUUGAUUACAACACCUACAAGUCCAUCCAUUAUUUGUACUUGUUGGUCAAGUGUUGAUCUUUCAAGGAAAAUCCAUUUAGAAAAUAAUUUCCCUAAUUUUUCUUUGCUUCAUCUUUUUCCAUCUAUGUUUUAUGUUUUUAGACAGAGAAAAAGAGAGGGAGAGAGACCUAAUAAGCAGCCUGUUCUUUGUAAUUUAAGAUAUGAUCGUUCACAAUAGUCAUUUAGAUCACCAUCUACUUGUGGAAUGUAGACGACUGCACUCACUUGUUGUGCUAUUCUCUGCAAGGGAAGGAGAGGGACUUCCAUUGAUCCAACUACUGAGGCUCCAAGAUUCUGUCUUGGCAUUCAUGAUCAAGCCAAACUCCAGCUUGAUUUGGGAGUCUUUUCUCCUUCCCUGGCUGCCUCAUCCUCUCUUCCCUGUGACAUUUCCUUGCUUGUGAAUUGGAUGAGGAGGGUAAAACUUCCCUUGACAUGCAUAAUAACAGCAGCUACUUGCCAGUCAAAUCCUGCAAGUCUUUGAUCAUGUCAUCUGCCACUUCACACAAAUGUCCAUUGAUGGAUGCCUUUAUAUUGCCACUGACAGGUCUCGCAUGGUGGUGGUCCAUCUGCAUCUGCUCUGACUUGAACUAGUGAGACAUCGAUGCUCCCUUUCGCUCGCCUCUCGGCAGUAAUUCAAAGAUCCAUCCAAGGAGAGUGCUGUAGUUACCCUGCCGUUGACAAGCUAAUCUUCUUCCAGUUCGAGAUCCACAUGAUCGUUGUUUGGACCAACUCAUAAGACAAAAGAAACAGGGGAGAGGGAAAGGAGUAGCAGUGGCCCCAACCAUGGCAGAAGCCACUGUGUGCCUUCGAAGCAGCUUCAGUGAUCAGCUCAGCUUAGCUCUUGAAGUCAAAGCAGCUCGAGCUUUUCCUGAAUUGGUCAACAUACGGAGCACCAUAUUUCUGUGCCAUGGCAAUUUGCCCGUGAUACAUUUGCACACAGAGCGAGAGAGAGAGAGAGAGAGUUCCAUUUCAACACAGCCUACCCAACUCCAAGUCUACACAGUCUCGGCUCCUUCGGUCAUUCCCUCUCGUCACCCAAAUCCAAAUCCAUCGCCAACAAACACCAACACAAUCUCUACUUUUAAUCCCUCCUCUUCUCACUCUCAUCCAGAUUGCCACACCACACUGCACCCGUCAGCAGAAGAUUAGAUUUUUCUUCUUCUUUAGGCACAUCCAUCAAAUGGAGCUGCAAUCUCCUGAUCCUUCCUCCCCCAACUCCACCUCCAGCAGCAGCAGCAGCAAUGGAGUGGCCACUGCAGCAGCCCCUUCAUCCGCACCUCUCACUCCCAAGUCCAUACCCAGAUCCAUCGACGCCAAUCCUUCCCCCACCACCUUCGUCCAGGCCGACGCCGGUUCCUUCAAACAGGUAGUCCAGAUGCUGACGGGCUCCGUCGAGACCACCGCCAAGCACGUGGGCGGCACCGUGGCGUCGCCCACAAGGAGCGGGAUCCCGCCCGCCGCUAAGGCCACCGGCCCCAAGAAGCCGGCUUUCAAGCUCUACGAGCGCCGCGGCAGCCUCAAGAACCUCAAGAUGAUAUGUUCUGACCCGAACUCGCCGUUGGGCAGGGCCGCCUUCCCCCCCCGGAGGCAGCCGGAGAUCCUCUCCCCGAGCACGCUGGACCUGCCGUCGUUGACCCUUAGCCCGGUCACGCCGCUGAUCCCUGAUCCUUUCAACCAUUCGGCGGCCGCAGCGGCAGCGUCGUCGGCGGAGGACCGGGCGAUCGCCGAGAAGGGGUUCUACCUCCACCCUUCGCCGAGGACCACGACAGGGGCCGCGGAGCCGCCAAGGCUGCUGCCGCUCUUCCCGGUGACAUCGCCGAGGAUGCCGUCCGCAUCUUCCACCUGAGAUGGCUCAAUUGUACACCUCGGGGGCUCUACCACCAAGCAAACCAAAUCAACGAAGCAUGGACGAACCAUCUCCGUUAUGUUCCCCUUCAGUCUUACUUGUCUCUGAGUGGUCUCUCCUUCAUCAAGAUCAUCUUUUUCUAUCCAUUUCUUGGCUAUCUGAUGCUUCUGAGUCGACAACUGCGAAAAUUCUCUUCCCUGGCGCAUACUGUGAUUGAUUUGUGUCAGAUUUUUCCUUAGUAGAUUACUGUUUCUCGAGAAACCACAUGGAGAUCAUCCCAUGCAAGAUCCAAGAAAGCAAAAGCUAGCUGCUUUGGACUUCCACUUGCCGAUGACCAACACAAACAAGACGCAAAUGAUUGGUUCCUUCGAUUCACGACUUGUGUGAGCCAUGUCCAAACUCUAAAUAAUGAAUGCUAUACGGUGUUUGCGAGAGUCAGAGAGACCGUGAGGUGAGAGCAGAGGCGGGUAGAAUUGCGUCAUGAUAUAUAUAUAUAUAUAUAUAAUGAGAACAAAAACAGUGUUCCCCACUUGUUGAUUGGCUCGAGUGUGAAUUAAAAAGGACUCUCUCAUUAUAAGACUUGAGCUUGGGGUUGGGGUUCAGUGAGAAGGAUGGAAUGCAGAGAAAUGGUGUUUACUGGGAGUAACCGCAGUAAUAAACAUGCUAAAUAGCCAAGAUUAUUGGUACUAAUCAUGCAAAGUUCAUCCCUGUCCAAACAAAACAUACGUUUACAAUAUAGGAAUUUUGGUUUACUGAUGGUUCAGUUCUUUCAUCAGAUCAAAUCAUGACAAUAGCACACACAUCCAAUCUUCCCUUCCAUGGAUGAGGUCCUCAUCUUCCAUGCUGUCCCACCCAAACAUAGUGGUUUCUGCUGAGAUAAGAUACUUGCCUUUUGGGACGUUGUGGAGAAUUCCUUCCGGUUGUAUUGUAACCUUCACUAAAGCCAGAGAAGGAAAAGGAAGAAGAAGAAGAAGAAGAAGGAAGUUGACCAGGUCUCAUCUGUAUCUGCUUAAUUGACUUGAGAUGCAGUACAUGGAGAGUGAAAUUACAGUCUCUCUCUGCAUCUGGAUAUUUAUUAGCUCAUUAUUAUGCAUAUAACAGGAAGGAAGUCAGCAUCUGGUGAAGUUUCUUCUUCUUCGGUGACAUGUUGCUGCUAAAUGACAAAAGGUAAAAAAAAAAAAUAAGAGUCAUAUUACUAGGAUUUGGCAUUUCUUUUAAACCCCAUAUAUUGAUUGAUUCCUUAAACAAAGUUUCUUUGCCAACCUCACAAUCGACCUCAAACAUUAUGAUGUCGGCCAUCUCGAAUGAUGUUCUCUUACUCUGAAAAGGAUCCAAGUGAUGUUCUUCAUUCUUUUCAUGUUCUAACAUUUUCAACCUUUUUAUGCAAUCAUCAAAUCUGCUUAAACUUGCUGUUAGGUUUUGUAUCACAAAAUGAAAACUCCGCCACAAUCGAAAGAUCAGGAUAGAUCUUUGAUCUUUCAAGUUGCAAGGGCAUUCCUAUCCUUUCCUCUUCUCUGUCAUAUCGAGGUAUCUUUUGUUGGCAAUCAUCUCUAUCUAUCUAUCUAUCUAUCUAUCUAUACUGGUGGCAUUUCAAAAACCUGGACCUCCUCUCUGUACCCAUGAUCAAGACAGUCAUAAGAACAGUUCAACCCUGAGGCACCUCUGUUAGUUAGAUUGCUCUCCAUUUCAUCAUACUUGUACCAAAGAGUACCAGUGUAGAUUCUUUUAGGCAAUGCAUAAAUUGGAACCGAUCAAUUCAUUCAUUGGCAAUGUCACCAAAAAGAAUAAAGAAAAACAAUCUUUCAGAAAUAUGUAUAUAUAAAAAAAAUAUUAUUCUGACCCUUUGUGUUGCUAAUGGGCACAAGAAUAUGUUCUUCCUACAAAGCUUUUAAUCCAUGAGCUGACUUUAAAAGGAGAAAGAUGUGAUGCCAAUGCUUUUGAUUGUAGUUGUAAUGUGGAUCAAUAGUGCGCCCGGCCAGUCAUACCCAUCUGAAAGAAGCAGCAUAAUUUGUAUUCCAUAUAAAUUAGGGUGAAUAUAGUCAGUCCUUCGUCCAAACUUUGGACAUCAAAAUAUCAUAAGAAUCCCCAUCAUAAAACUCCCAAUAUCACUAGAUUCUCGGUUCUUGCCGGACCGGUAAAUACUAGUAGGUAAGUACGUGAUAAAAUUGCACUCUUUUGACAGUGGUAUAUCAUCCGAUUAGGAUAGGGAGGGGAAGUCUAAACACAGAUGUAAUCAAAACAACAAAUGAUGCUGCCUUAUCCCAUCCUCCUUCAAUAAAGAGGAACCUUUCACUAAUAUUUCUGAAGUUUAAAUUUGCAGACUCGUUUGGUUUCUGUUCAUUCAUCGUAGCUGAGCGAGCAUAUCGGUGAGGAAGUUGGGUCUUACAGUGCAAUCAAUCCUUUGGGUUGAUUGGUGAAGGAGGAAGCAGCAGCAGCAGCAGCAUAUAUGAAUGACACAACCAGAUUAAUACUAAUAAUAUUUCAUUGACUAGGAUAGAUAGGAGAGUUGUAACACAGGACAGAGAUAACACAGAUGAUACUGCGUUAUCCCAUCUUACAACCUAUCAGCCUGCCCGAAUUAUUAGAGUACAUAGCCACACCUUCUUCUUCCGUUUUUUUUGUUCUUUUGUUUUUUAUGCAUUGCAAACUUUUAUUUAGUGGUAGUGACAAGUGCUUCUCAGUUGCCACACUUGCAGUCGGUGCAGGCGCAGGCGGCGCCGCACUUGCACUUGCCGUCAUGCUCGGCAGCUUCUGCGGCAACGAUCACCUCGUCGACGUAGCUGAAGAGACGAAAUGAAUACGGAAGAAGCAUUAGGUAAGGUGAUAAGGUGUAAUCCUAAUUAGUUUGAUCAUCCUCGAAGAGGAGGAGGGAGAAGAAGCUAAUCAGUACCUCUUCUCGGUCUCAACAAUAUCGAUACCGUAGCUGUUUCCCUUCUUCCUGCAAAGGCAAAACCAAGUUCCUCAGCCAACGUUGACCUUCUACACAUACAUAUAGUAUUGCUGAUGUUCCCUAAUAAAGCUCUGAGUUUUGACGAGCGAUGUGGGAAGAGUCGACUCAUCAAACACAAACGGGGCGAGGUUAGAAGAAGAAGAGGUGGAGGGAUGGAGGAUGACUUACACGCACUGGCUCUUGUCAACGCAGUCGCAGUUGCCGCAGGUCGACAUGGUUAGACGAGGAAGGAAGGCGAAAAGGCUCGAAGAAAGCAGAGGUUGUAGUGUGAGAAUGGUAUGGUGUGUUCUUGGAGAGAAAAGGGGCUUGUUUCGUGCUUAUUUAUAGGCGCUCCUCUCACACACGCAAAGAGAAAGAAUGAAAGAGGGGGGAUGGGCAUUUACUCGUUCGUCUGUGCAGUCCACACGCCACCGGGAUAGGCCGUCUCGGGAAUCUUAGACGUGCGUGGUGGGGGAGGAGAAGACUUGGCAUCGUCCGCUCACGUCCUUGUCUUCGUCUCGUCCCCGCCACAGAGAUCGCAGGCGGCUGACACACGCAAGCUCGCAUCCUUCCAUCUUAUCAUCCGGAGCAUCAUCACUGUAAAAGAUACGAGUAUACUUUUAUUGGAAAUCUCUAGAAAUUUAAAAGCUACUUUCGAUCCUUAAUUCAAUGAGCGUUUACUGUGAACAAUUGGUGGGUUUUUGCGGAUAUGGCCGUCGAUUCCUAUUCUUGUGAGAGAAAUGGUUAGAAUCUAAUAAAUAAAUAAAUAUAUAUAUAUAUAUAUUUAAUAUUAUAUUAGAUCCUUCCCUAACGAAUUAAAAGAAAUAUUUAUUCAUCUGUCAAAGGGAGAGAUUUUUUAGAACCUAAUAUAUGAAAUUAAUUAGAAGCCGAUGUCAAAUUUGGUGGAUAGAAUGUGAAUCGUUAGAGUGAGUAGAUGAUUAUGAUAUAUUUUUUAUUUUAAUAUUUUUAAUCCAUGAUUCUCUCAUAGUGACCAAAUCAAUUCAAUGUGCAUCCUAAAUUUUUGUUGUAUUUUUCUUGGAGAUGGAGCAAGUCAAGCCAAUAUUGGGGUUGGAUUUUAAAUGAGGUUUUCGGUCUAAUUAGAUCCAAACCCAUGGAGAUGAUGAUGAUGAUGAUAAUAAUGUAAAUCCUACCCAUUACUUCAAUGAUAGAUCUCAUGUUCGGAUCCAUACAGAAAUGUCUUAUGUGCAAUUUAAUGUAACAGAAGAAGAUUAAUGUAAGAAAGAAAAACAGCAAUUUGCAUGGCUUUCAAUUAAUUCCUGCGAGAAAUAGUGCCAACUACAAACCCAUAUAUUCCCACUCUACGGUAGGGAACGGACAUUGCAGGAGCAGGUCGUCGUUGUCAUCAUGCUCGAAAAAGUCGAUCGUCACUGUCGCCUGACCUUUCGAUCUUUACUGGAACAACAACAGCCUAGUGUUGCGGGCUUCCCUUAUCUACGUUGCUAUGUGGAUCUCACAUCCCAUGGCUGCUCGCUGUGGAGGAGUCCAUAUCAUCAUGACCCAGUGGGCGUCCGAUGUGAUUUCAGGCCCUCAUCCUACAGUGAUUUCAGGAAAAAGAACAUUAUCGCCAGAUUUAUCUGCUCAAAGAUGGACACAGUUUGGCCAAGAUAAACAUAGCAAUUCAGCAUUACAACCAUUUUUAAAGACACACAGAGGGAGAGAGAGAUUGAGAGAAGAGAUCAAAGCUUCGUAGUGCUACUUCAGAAUUCCAGAGAGUGGAAGUUCGUUUAGUGAGACAACCAAAGGAACAAUCCUGGAUUGCCAGAAUUGGAAGAGUCAUGGGUGAUUUAUAUUGAGUUUGCCAUUAAACCUAAUUAGCUUAAGCUAUUGGUUGCAUGGUGUCCAAUCUCAUGUAUAUUGAUCAUGACUAGCUUAAGUUCGAUUUAUUUGAUCCAAUAAACAAGAGAAAGAAAGAGACAGAGAAUUGAUGGGCACGAUAGCCACCUUCUUAUUAUCUCGAGAUCGUAAGAACGAGAAUGCAGGUGGAAGCUAUUGUUGCAGUAGUAACUUGGUCAAAAUAUCUUUCAAAACAAGGGAGACAUCAUAUGGUUGCUAAAGAAGGAUCAUGAACUGAAGAAAUAGACCUUUGUUAAAGAGCUAAGUAAUGGCGAGAGAGAGAGAGAGAGAGAUCAUUGGAAGGCACCUUUUUUGUGUUGCUGGUGUGAACUCAUCUAAGCUUGUGCCUCCUCCCUUGAAUUGAUGGUGUCAAUUCCUGCAUCUCGGAGGAGAGAACUAUCAACUCAUCCUUUGGGGACCAAAUAAGUGUCAGUCUCUAUAUAUUGUCAGGCAAGCAUACUUUAUGAGGAACAGCUUGGCCUGCAUCUCUGUAGACAAUGCCACAAACAACUCUUAGAACUGGUUAGAUAAACUAUUGCAUGUCAACUAAAAUAAUCCGAAUAUGCAAAAUUGUGUUCAGAUUGACUCAUUAAAAGCAAAAAAAAUUGAAUAUAAAACUUGAUCCAGAACUCCAGCUUAAAUUGAAGCCAUCAGAUUGAAUCUGACAAAGUUCCUUUGGUCACAAAAGAAAAAGAUAAAGAAAAAUGAAAAAUCAUCAAAACGUCACAUGUAAGAAAGAAAUGUGUUUUGCUAACAAAAGAUUCUCAUGCAUCUGUGAUCUGGCGCAGAGAUAUAAGCUAAUGACAGCAUGUAAAAUAUCCUUCAGUAUAUCAUAGAAAUGGUUGAGAUCAAUUUGCCCUUUCUCAGAACAAAUAGCCUCAGCACUUUUCCAGAACAAACAAAUAUAUGACAUGUACUAAAUGCUAAGAUAAAGACUUGAUCUACAAUAAAACACGGUAUAACCAUAAUACAGAGAGAUUGGAUGGGAUGCAACCAUUUUUCACUCUGAUGAUGGUAACUUACAUCAUUCAGCUCUUAUACUGCAAAGUCAAGAUCAUGUUCAACAAAUGCAUUGAGCACUUGCAGGUUGUGCAGAAAGGUCUUGUGAGUUAAAAGGUCAAAAAGGAAAUCAUCGUUCAUAGUUUCAGAUUGGUUGUAAAUGUUCAGUAGUAAUUUGGCUGUGUAGAAAAAAAUUCUUCUCUUAACCUAUAUUUAUACUGGUAAAUGAUUCCAUCAGAAGAUAAUUUUAUACUUUUAAUGAUAACCAUGAAAACUUUUGAAAAGCAUAAUAUUGUUAGUUGUAAGUUUCUGAAGUAAAUAGAUUAUGAAAACUAGGAAAACAAACAUGUAAAAAUCUAAGAGAAAUCAUGUCAAAUGUGAAAUCCUAUUAUUCAUUUCUCAAUUAAGUAUAUAUUGAUGCAUCUGUCUAUUCUACAUUUCAUAAUUGUUAUUCUAAGAUAAACUAUACAAGGUAAACUAUAUAUCAUUAAAGAUUAACAUCUUUCCUGUUCAAUUUCGGAACAUUCUAGGUAACAGAGAAUGCAUCACACAUACCAAGAUACUCCAUCAAGCUCACCUCGCUUGCCAUUCCAAUUACCAGCAUAUUCUUACCUGACGACAUGAUCAACAUACCACAGCUAACAUUAUUCAGCAUACAAUUUCUUUAAAAUGCUAUUGUACAACAAACAAAAGAGGUUACAUAACGAAUAGGUCACAGAGAGUGAAAUUGCAAUGGGCAUCUUUGGGGUCAAAGAAACAACGGGAGAAACAUACAGGUCAUUUUCAUUUUAGCAUUGAAUGUGUAAGUGUGAUUCUUGACUGGUAUUCUCUAACACUGCUUUCUUCUUUUCUUUUUCUUCCCUUCUUUUUUUCUACUUGGUGAAAUUAGGGAGGAAUUUAUACAGAGGAAGAGAAUAGAACCUUCGUCGGAAGCCAUUUCAGGAGGACCAACAAUGUCAGUGAAAAUCAAAUUUGAAACGUGCAGUCCAAUAGCUACAUACUCUAAACAUGACAGAAUUGUCAAGCCACAAUAGUUUACAAGAACAUGGAGCCCUGCAGGACAAGCAUACUGACUGUGACCAGAGAAUGUAGGACAAGCCACAAUAGUCAAGAGCCAUCUAUUAUAGAAAUCACUAUCUUUAGAUAGAAUAAUGUAUGUUUUGAAACAGCUGUUUAAUAUGUUCAAAUGGUACUAAGAAUCUAGGCAAAAGAAAAUUAUAAUGGACUUGACUUACCUGUCCAUAUCAUCAAGAAUUAUGAUUCUUAGUUGAGAUCUUUGUAAGUAUCCCCAAAAAUCUGUGUCAGACAAGACUUAGUUACAGCACUAAAAAGAGACCACUACGACUGAACUAACUAGAUCAGGUGGCAGCUGCAAAUAAGUAGGCUAGAAAGUCAGAUUCAAAAGAAUCCAGAACCAAAACAACAUUAAUUCUUCCGGGGAAGAUAUAACUUAUGGAGAAGGAUAUAUAUAUAUAGAUUAAAUGUUAUCUCAUAAUCAAUUCAUUGACUUGAACAUUUUCAGUGAGAUAGUUCUACUAGCAUAAUAAUAGGAAUCUUGACAAUUUGUGCAGGUUUACUUGCAUCACUUAGACCAAGCAUUGUUUCUGCAGAGAUCUAUAUCAUGAAAGGUGUCGAUCAUUAGACGGAUGAAGACGCCAAGUUAUUCUGAUCAUCACAAAUGCAAGAACAAGUUAGGAACUUGACAAAUGGAAAGUCAGUUUCAAUACCAAUUGUUGCCGUCAUUGCAGUUUUGCCACUGAUAACAAAGAAAUAUCAUGAAUCAACACUGCUAAGAAGUAGGAUUUUUAUCAUUUAGAAAACAGGUUGUCGACUUACCUGCACUUGGCCCUUCCAGAAGGCAUGUAACAAGUGGAUUACCCUGGCUUACUUUGACUUGUUCCACGACAAGCAUAGCUCUUUCAUGGAUGAGAAUGUGUCUCUUGCCACAUUCAACAAUCCCAUUAAGCCUGCACAUCAUUACACACUUAAUUUAGUACUAUACUACCAAGACAAAAUAGAGAUUCAAUUCUUGUCUAACAGAUGACAGAUAGCAACCAUAAGAUGGUAAAAAGAGAUGGAUAACUCAUUUUAAUGAUAUAGGAAUUGCAAAGACCAUCAUGCAUCAGUAAAGAAGUCCAAGAAUGCUCAAGCUUCAUUUCAUAUUAGUAUUGUAGUAAUUAAAGGCUUUUGAGAAGCAUAAGAAACAUUAUUUCAAAUGAAUCAGAUUCUUCAAAGUAUCAAGAAACAUGAAUGAUGGUUCUUAACAGCUCAGCAAGGUCUUGCAACAUGGUUUUCUGACGUUAUCUUUUCAUAUUUAUCACACAUUAUUCAAAAUCCAAAAUAAGGAGCAAAGAAAAGCUUCCAUCAACUACACAAUAUAGCAAAAUAGCAAGUGAUAACAGUCACGAAAGCAAAUAUGUCAGGCAUUUAGGAAGUAAUAAUUUUAUCUGUUGAGAAUAACAGAGGUGCUGACUCCCACUAUUAAUUUUUCAAGAUUCUGCAGCAACAUGAUAUACGAGCCAAAACAACCAAAUAGUAGAGUAGAAAGGUUAAAUAAGAACAUUGAAUGUGGGACCCAUGAUUUAAAAAGCGCUAGAUGCCAAGGUCCUAAAAUGCCCGAGGUGCUAGGUGCUUGUUCGAGCGAAGCGAGACGCUCUAAAAUAUUAAAUAUAAAAUAAUUGAUAAAUAUGAUUAUAUAAAUAAAAAUAUGAUAUUAAAUUACUAUUAACAAUAGUUAGAGGGGAAAAAAGAAUUGUUAAGCGGGAGAGAAAAACUCACUGACUGUGGAACUUUUGGACGAUAGUGACAAUGGCGGCGAAGGAAGCUACGGACGACAACAGCGGUAGCAACGGAAGCUACGGAUGGCACGUCGUGGGCGGAAGAAGUUUCAGAGGUGUCCGUUAAUGGCAGAGGAAGCUGCAAUCCUCUCCCUCAAUGGUGGAAGGAGCUGCACAUGAAAGCAACGAUGGCGAAUGGAAGCUACGGAUGAAUGCUACGCCGUCGAACCCGUCUGUCGACAAUAGAGGAAGCCUCAGCCCUUGAGGCAAUAAUAAAAUGUGUCGGCGACAAAGGCAAACACUAUGCUAUGGUUGAUGGCUCGGACUUGCACGGGAGUACGAGGGGUGGCUUUUGCGGGGAAGAAAAUAGCUACUCGGUUCAAUUGAACCAACUAGCCACCUUGGUUUAAUUGCUUCAUUUGAACCGAUCGCUCGACGCUUGGGUUUAGGAGCGCGCACAAGCAACGCCUCACUAAAGUGCAUUGCCUGGUGGCUCGCCCAAGCGGCGCCUCACUGAAGCACACCGCCUAGCCCAUCAUUGAGGCACUUGGGCCUCGCCUCGUUCGUGCACCUAGGCAAGCGCCUAGGCGCCUAUUUAAACCACUGUGGGACAUAAAUCACAAAAGACAUUACAGAAAGAAAUCUUAAAAUCUUAUUGACACAAGUGGUUGUUCAUGCGCUUAUCCGAUAAGCUUAUUUGAAUAUGAUGCAAGAGUCAUUAGUAUCUACAAAAGCUUAUUUGUGUCAUUAAUGUAAUAAAGUAGGAUGGUCAAAAUGGAAAAGUAUUUGGAAUGUUGCAUGGCUUUCAUGUGCUAAUGAACAAACAACAAGGGGUAGUCAUAAUCAAUGUAAAAUGACACAACCACAAUUCCAUAUGAACACACUCAUCUAUAUACACUUUUAUGUUGGACAAGUUCUUUCAUCAUUUCCCAAGUUCACUACUAAAGGACUUAAUAACUCAAUGGCACAUUAAAAUCAUAUAACAUUCCAAAUACUUCUAUCCAUUUUGACUGUCCUAAUUUAGUGCAUUAACAACACAAAUAACAUCCUCUUUAAUAUUGUCAUCCCAUCAAAUAAUAUCUAGAUAUCAGAAUUUAUUAUGGCUUCAAGUUUCUUAUUCAUCUAUUUCAACAAUGUCUUCACAAUUUCUUUUAAUGUAGUUAGUGUUAUGACACACAUGAUUAACCUCAACAUGCAUAAUGUAAAAACUUUUGCUACUAAAAGUUGUCUCCAUUGUUCUAUACCUGAUCCUUCUUCUCACGAACACAGCAUACAAAAUGAUGAUCUAGAUCCAAUGUAAACAUAAAUCUUUGGGAAUAGCAACUACUGCAAUACAUAUACAAACAUGCUAGCAUACCAGAUGAAGAUAGUGAUAUCAAGCAGAAACACAUCUAACCAGUCAACCUCACUGUCGACAGCAGCACCUCCUGCACCCUCUUUGUCAGCAUCCGCUUCCUUGCUGUCUUCAGCAGCACCUCCUGCACCCUCUUUGUCAGCAUCCGCUUCCUUGCUGUCUUCAGCAGCACCUCCUGCACCCUCUUUGUCAGCCUCCGCUUCCUUGCUGUCUUCAGCAGCACCUCCUGCAACCUCUUUGUCAGCCUCCGCUUCCUGCAUUAUCCUCCAGUAUCCUUGAUUGCCCCAUUAUUGCAUGUGUCCUCCUUGCAGCCUCUUAAGGAGAGGGCCUUUGUCUGGGACAUGACGAGGCCAGUGGUGUCUUCAUCACCAUGAUGCUAUCAUGAAUAAAUAUGACGUGUUAGAUAUCAUAGUCAGACAUUCAAAUAAAUGAACCAUCAUGCCGAUUCAUCCUUAUAUCAUCAUGGAAGAUGACAUUUACAUAAAAAAGACUUACCAAAUUAGCAGCACAAUUGGACAUCAUCCAGAGUCGGAAUAUACUAUUCAGGAACUUUACACGAUGAAAGUUAUAAUAACAUUUUCACAACAGAACAGCAGCGGCAGUACAACACAUAAGAUGGCAUUCUUAUUAUAUUUUCAGUGUACAGUGGAUAAACCCCAACUUGGCAAAAAAGAAAAAAGCAACUAAAACAAUAUUCCAUUUAUUUUGGCCUCCGGAAAAGACCAUUCCUUGGCAUCCAACAACUACUCAUUCCAACUCUUCAUCCACAUCAUUGUCAGUCUCAUUACACAAUACCUUCAAUUUUUUAACAGCCUGAGCAGCAUCAGUUUUGGCUGCACCAUUGGCAAUCUCAAUAAGGAUAUCAGACUUCCGCCCUGUGGCCGCAUCAACAAGCCCCCCAUUCCUCUCAACCCUAUAUGAUAGCUCGUUCCUCCCAAGGGCUGCAUCAAUGUAUACAGUGGUGUUCUCAUCAAUCUCACCCUGUAUGAGCAUCCUGGAUAGGUGGGUCACAACCUUCUUCUCCAACCAUCUCCUGAUUGGUCUUGCACCAUACACCUGGAAACUCAAAUAUGUGUUAUUCAAUCACUCUUACGUCCUAUUAACAGCAAAAUCAAAAGAGAAAAGAGAUGAUGAACCUAUACUUACAGGAUCAUAGGAUUCAGAUAAGACUAUGUCCAAAGCAGCAUCUGUCACAGCCAAAGCAAUGCCCCUCUGAGCAAGGCGGAGCGCAACAUCCUUCAUUUGGAGCCUGGCCACCUUUCUGAGCUGAUCAUGUGACAAUGGAUCGAAGACUACUAUCUCAUCUAGUCGGUUAAGCAUCUCAGGCCUAAAAUGCCUUCUCACCUGCAUAAUUGACAUAUACACUAGUUAACCAUUCAAAGUCUAACAUUAUGAUCACUGAUCAGGGCAUGAGAUCAGAAAAGGGUAGUCCGGAUAAAGUACUUCUAGCAGAACUUGUUCACGAGCAAUCUUCAUCGAAGAUUCCCCUGCCAUUCCAGCAAGGAGGUGCUCAGCGCCAAGAUUAGAAGUCAUGAUAAUGACAGUGUUCGUGAAGUCGACAGUCCUCCCUUGGCCAUCAGUUAAUCUGCCAUCAUCAAGAACUUGAAGGAGCGUAUUGAAGACGGCAACAUGAGCCUUCUCUACUUCAUCAAAGAGGAUGACACUGUAUGGCCUCCGCCUCACUGCCUCGGUGAGUUGUCCACCUUCCUCGUGCCCCACAUACCUAAAAAAUCAAAUACUAAGCAAUGACAUUUGUAAGGUACAACCCUAGAACCCAGUAGACAAUCCUGAGAAGCUUUACUCACCCUGGUGGAGCGCCAAUUAGGCGUGCCACUGAAUGCUGCUCCAUGUACUCUGACAUGUCAAUGCGGAUGAGAAGAUUCUCAUCAUCAAAUAGUUGCUCUGCAAGUGCUUUGGCAAGUUCUGUUUUACCAACACCAGUCGGACCCAAAAAGAGGAAUGAGCCAGUUGGCUGCAGAGGCCGACCUAGACCGGCUCUAGACCGAAGCACUGCAUCUGCUACUGCAUCAACUGCUUGAUUCUGGCCAACAACUCUCUUGUGUAACCUCUCAGCAAGGCCAAUUAACCUGUCUUUCUCAUUCUGACCGAGCCUUGUCACUGGAAUUCCUGUCCACCGGCUCACAACCUAACCAGGACAUCAAACUUUUAGUAACAAGAUUGGUGAACAACUAAAUCCUGAAGAUUAUGUUGAUGUUGGACCCACACCUCUGCAAUGUGCUCGGGCCCAACAGUCUCUGUCAACAUCAAGUUCUCAUUGGUACCCCCCUCAAGCGUUGCAAUAGAAGCAUCUAUUUCUUGCAAGGCACCAUACUUGAGAUCAGCAACACGAGCCAGAUCCAUCCUCCGCUCAGCCUCCUUUAGAGUAAACAUUAGCUCUUCACGGCGCUGCUUCAACCUGCGAAUCUCAUCAAUUCCCUCCUUCUCCUUCCUGUACUUCAUCAUCAGUGGUUGCAGCUUAUCCCUUAAAUCAUCCAAUUCCUUCCUAACCUGAAGGAAACACAUUGCACAACGUCAUCAGAACUCAGAACAGACAACAUAUAGGAUAACAUAUAAGAUAAAAAGAUCUUAGGCAACAGACACCCACCUCAAUAAGCCUUGCUUUACUAGCUUUGUCCUUCUCCUUCUCAAGAGCAUGCAAUUCCACUUCCAACUGAAUCCUUUUCCUCUCCAGGUUAUCAAUCUCCUCUGGCUGACUAUCAAGCUGUACCCUUACAUUUGCACAAGCCUCAUCAACCAAGUCAAUUGCCUUGUCAGGAAGGUGACGGCCUGUUGAAAAAUGAGAACAACACAAUUCUCAGAACACAAAUCAGAACAAGAACAGAUCAUACAGGGAAAAAUUCCUGCUACGCCUAUGACAUUUAAUAUCUAUACUAUGAAAUAACUGGUUUAUGUAGAAAACCAAAUAAGUUCUUUUGCUGGGCCAAACACCCAAUAGGUUCAGAAAUGUAACCAUACUAGCAGUUAAUUUGGCCUUUGCUCUAAUGAAUUAGAUCAUUACAACUAUUUGUAAAUAAACAGCAUUGUUAGAACAUUGAAACUAUUUGUAAAUAAACAAACUAAAAAGGGCAUAUCCGGUGUACAAGGCUCUCGCAGAGGGUCAAUGUACGUAGCUUUAUAAAGAGAAUGUUUCCGUGAUUUGAACCCUCCCUGAUCUCCAAGGUGUACCAAGGCUCGCCCUCUAAAAUUAUUAACAUUUUGUGGCUGCUGGGAUUUAAGCCCAGGUCUCUACGGUCACAAAGUAGAAUUCUAACCACUAAACUACAGCCACGUUGGUGAAAUCAUUUGUAUAUACAAAAACCUAAAUUUAGUUCUUUAUGGCUGCUUCAUAUGCACAAUCAAGUCAGAAACAUGACGGUACAGUAGCUACACUCACCAUUAGUUGUCCUGAAAGCUUAGAGGAAAAGCUUGAAAACGUACCGGUAAUAUAGCGGCUUGAGAGCUGAGCAGCGACCACAAGAGCACGGUCCUGGAUUCGAACACCAUGAUGUCCUUCAUACUUCUCCUUGAGUCCCCGAAGGAUGCUUAUGGUGUCAGCAAUGCUGGGCUCUGCCACGUAUACCUGCUGGAACCGCCGCUCAAAGGCGGCAUCUUUCUCGACGUACUUCCUGUACUCCUCCAACGUCGUUGCUCCAAUGCACCGCAACUGCCCUCUCGCAAGCAUCGGCUUGAGGAGGUUGGCAGCGUCCAUGGAGCCCUCGGUGCGUCCUGCGCCAAGAACGAGGUGGAUUUCAUCGAUGAAGAGGAUGACCUUGCCAUCGGCCUCCUCCACCUCCUUAAGCACAGCCUUGAGGCGCUCCUCGAACUCGCCACGGUACUUGGCCCCGGCGAUGAGUGCACCCAUGUCGAGCGCCACGAGGCGGACAUCCAGCAAAUUGCUGGGAACGUCGCCGCGCACGAUCCGCUGCGCGAGGCCCUCGACGACGGCCGUCUUGCCGACGCCGGGCUCGCCGAUGAGGACCGGGUUGUUCUUGGUCCUCCUGGAGAGGACGCGUAUGACGCGGCGGAUCUCCUCGUCGCGGCCAAUGACGGGGUCGAGCUUCCCAGCGACCUCGACCAGGUCGCGGCCAUAGGUCUUGAGGGCCUGGAAGUUGGUGUCCCCGGACGCGCUUUCUACCUUCUUGCCCUCCUUUCCCCGGAGCUUCUCGAUCUCGGCGCGGACUCGAGCGGCGCUGACGCCGGCCUCCUUGAGGCACUCGGCAAUCUGAGGGUCCUCCAGGAGACCGAGGAUGAGUUGGUCGACGGCGAGGUGGGAGUCGCCGCGCGACUUCUGGGAGGACUGCGCACGGCGGAUGACCUUGAUGAGAGAGGUGGCAGCGGGAACCUCGUCGGGAGGUGGGGACUGGGAGGGGAGCUUCUUGAGGGCGACGCCGACGGUCCGAUCGAAGGACUGGGCUGCGGCGUCGCCGGCGCCACCGGAGGCGUUGACGAGGGCCUGGCGGAGGAGGCCAUUAGGAUCGGCGGCGAGGGCGGAGGCAAGGUGGAGCGGCGUGAUCUGGGCGUGCCCGGAGUCAAGGGCAAGCUCGUGGGCCGCGACCAGCGCCUCGUUCGUCUUGUGCGUGAAUUUGUCGGGGUUCAUGGCGGAUCGCUUUCUUUAAUAUGUGGAUACAGAAAAAACCAGAUUUGAGGGUUGGGCUUACCAGACGGCCAGCACCUCUGGUAAUGGACGAGGAUGAGGGGCGCAAGAAGCGGGAAGCACAGAGCAUUCGCGAAGCUACGAGAGAGAGAGAGGCUAUACCAGAAGUGUCUGCAACGUCGGAUGGACAUCGUACGGAUGUGAUGUUUACACGUGGAACGAGGAGUGGGGUGUGGGGCGACGGGCCCGAUCGAGUCUUUUUCCAAGGAUUGAGAAUAGAAAGGUGCCCAAAUGUUUCGGGCUCCAGUACCGGUCUCAACUACGUGGUUAUAUUGGAGCAAGGCAUAUGUGGGACCCGCGAAUUUUCCACUAAAGAUGAGGUAAGCACAUCGGGUACGUUUUGGGCAAAACGCGUCUACCAAUUGGGCCGAACGUGACCACCCGCCCCCGGAUAUGCCCCAAGUGCCCUCCACUGCGGGGCCUUAGUCGCCGCGGGUGAGAAACUUAAUCGAACACCUUAAGCGCGCCAGCCCAACCAGGCGACGAGAAGCAUCGAUGGCUUCGUCCGCGAGGGCUUUCGGUGCAGUCCUCUGCAGAGUCUCACUGUCACAGGGCCUCUCUCCCCUCAGGAGCUCACUGUGCCUUCAGGGUAUGUCUCCCCCUCUCUCAUCUUUUCCGUAACAACAAUUUCUUCGAUGAAUCCAACCGCUCGUCUCUUCUCUUUAGGAAUCGGCUUGCUGGGCUCGAGGUUGCCUUCUGCUCUUCCGAAGGAGGCGCGUAAUACCCAGACCGUGCGAAAGAUAUGGACCUCGCGCCCUGUUUGCAUGGGCAGGCGUUCUUGCAAGAUCGCUGGAAGAAAGGUCCCAACUUUUUGGUCUUACACGCUUGAUUCCUUGUUAUCAUUUGUUCUAGGUAGCAUCUGUCUAUCACAAACACGGAUUCAUUUGUUUGUUUUCUUUUCCCUCUUUAUAAGUAAAAGAAGGUGAUAAGCAAUAUGUCUCUCGUUCAUUGCUCACUUGGUUAGGUAUCUAAUCCUUGGGUCUUCGUUGGUCCGAACAUGUCUGAUUGACGCAGUAAUGUGAUCAGCAAUAUGUCUCUCGUGCAUUGCUCACUUGGUUAGGUUUAUAAUCCUUGGGUCUUCGUUGGUACGAACAUGUUUGAUUGACGCAGUAGUGCUCUUUGGGAUCUCCAUUCUGGCUGCAUCACUCAAAUCUAGAUCUCCUAUGUAGUGGAAUGUUCUACUUAUCACUAUGUGGAAAGUUGCAUCAAGGAAAAAUAGAACUGUGGUGCAGUUGCUAACAAUAAUUUAGCAGCUUGAAGUUCCGACUAAAGAUUUCGUUUCUUCCAAAGCAUUAUUGCAUUGUGUUGGCAAUUGUUUAUUUGCACAACAUCAAUUUGUUCCCUCUUCUAUCCUUAAACAUCAUCAUCUCAUGCCCCUUUCGUCCUGAAAAUAAUUAUUGUGUUAUGUUCAAUUUUCAAUGCUGACAGCUUUUUGUCUUUGGGACAUCAGUUUCAUGCCCUUUCCUGAAAACACUAUUGUUCCUUUUAUAGGUAGUGUCAAGAAUGCUUUAUCUACCACUAGCUGUUUAGUUUCUUAACAGCCACUCCAGUACUAUUUACAAUAAGUUGUCUGUGUACUGUAAAUCUGGCUUUUGCUAAUAAUUUCUAGGUUACUUGUUUGCAUUUGUUACUUCUCAUGUUCUUUUCAUGCCUUGGUGUCAGUACAUGUGAGGUUCUUCAGGAUCAUCAUCUAUGUGAUCAUAAGUUUUUUUCUUUUCCAAUUAGGAAAUCCAGUCAAGGACUGCAGGUUUCUUUUUCUAACUUCAUUUUAGAUAUGUAAGGAAACUUGUUUUUGAAAGUAAUAUUCCCUUACAUUGACUUGUCAAAGCUUAUUUAAGAAUUAUAGAAAGAUAUAAUUGUUGUGUCAAAAUGAUUCCACAGUGCUUUUUUUUAUUAGUUACCCUGAAAAAUGUCAUUUCCAUCUAAUCUUGUUUUGUCUUUUCUUUAUUUAAUUCAGAUGUUAUGAUAAGCUCUAGCGAGAUAAGUGUGAUUAUACAAUGAAAUAUUUUUUUUCUUUUGUUUUUGGCUUAAGUUCCAUUUGCCACUUCUUUGCAGGAUGCACAGAAUCUGAAGAAAAUGAAACGUAAUAGCAAAAUUGGAAAAGAAAUUGUUGCUGCGUAAGUUGUAAAAGCUUUGAAAUUCUGAAGCUUUCUAUAUUGUUAUUGAUUAUUAGCUUUCUGGAACUUACUAUGUUCAUAUGCCAUGUUUCAGCAACGUUUAUCAGAGAGUAGGCUUGUUUGUAAUGACAGCACCCAUGAUGUCCUGAAACUUCGUAGUAAUACUUUUUUGUGUAUGAUGUUAUUCAAGGGUGCCUUUUGCUAGAAAGUUUUACCUGCAUCAGAUUUUGUAAAUCAUAGUUACUUAUGUCUCCUAUGUCCAAGUGCUGAACCAUCAACAUGUCUUGUUUCUAUGUUUGACAAGAAUUCUAGCUGCUUGGCUAUUUAUCCUAAUUUAAUGUCUCCAUUAGAUAGAUGAAAAGAGCUUUUCUAUAUUGCAUCAGAACUUCCCACUUCAUCUGGUUACUUAGGCAUUUUCUUGAUAUGUCAUGUCAUUCAAGUUCCUUCCUGAAAAUUAAGAAGAUCACUCUGUUGCAGAAUGAUAAAAUCUCUUUCUAGAUGUAAAGGACCUAAUUAUCUGAUCUAAAACUGGGGUUUAUGUUUUAAGUGAACUUUUCUGUUCUCUUAAUGUGAAAAAUUUUUGAAGUUGACAUGCUGUGGUUGCUGUGUUGCAUCAUAAAGUAUACAGAGAGGAGGUCCAAAUCCUAAUUCGAAUACAGUUUUAGCUGCUAUACUAGACAAAGCUAGGGAGCUUGAUGUACCCAAGGAAAUUGUGGAGCGUAACAUAAAAAAAGCAACGGAAAAGGGACAAGAGGCUUAUAUUGAGAAAUUCUACGAGGUAAAUGAUCCAUUUGAAUAUGUUUUUGAAAAUCAGUUUGCAAUUUUGACUAAUACAUAUAUUCUGAAUCAGGUAUAUGGUUUUGGUGGGGUCGGUAUGGUUGUUGAGGUCCUAACAGAUAAAGUGACAAGAUCAGUGGCUGCCGUCAGAGGAGUCGUAAAGGACUGUGGAGCAAAGCUAGCUGAUCCAGGAUCUAUUUUAUUCAAGUUUAGGCGAGUUCGAGUUGUCAAUAUAAAGGCUAAUGCUGCUGACAAAGACCAGCUGCUUAGUAUUGCUCUGGAUGCUGGUGCUGAAGAUGUUAUAGAACCAGCAGAGGAUGAAGAUGACUUGGAAGAAGAUCGUCCUGAUAGGUAUUUUGCCAAGAGGAGGAUGUCAUUAGUCACUGUUUAUUGUUAUUAACCCUUCUAUGUGAUGUAUUAUUAUCUUUUGCUAGUUGGUAUGGUCACAAAUAGCAGAGAAUGAGCCUUGGCACCACAUAAGGCUGCUUCUUUGCGACCUAGGUGACUGAGGUCAGAGUCACAAGACAUAAGGAGUAGGGCUACAAACAUUAGCCUUCUUCAAACCUUCCAUCGGUGAGAGUCUGAUGCAUUGGACUGCCCUUUAUGUAACAUAUGCUAGUCUAGACCAGAUAUACAUUUAAAUGAAGCAAUAUUAAAUGACAUCCUUAAGUUAACAUAAUGGUCAAAAUGUUAAUAAUUUAAUUAGAGAAACAAAUCAAGUAACAUGAGAUAUUUAAGGUCGCUACAACUGUUGUUGCUGCAUGAAGUAUGUUGGCUAUCUAACUUCAGAUAGUUCAAAAAUUGUGUGUUCUCAUUAUUCUCCUCCUCAAACAUCAAUUCCUCCUCCUCAGACAUUGUUUCCACAAAUAUUUUGUUGUUUUCCUUCAUAAUUUGCCAGCGGAAAUUGGUAAAAUUCCACAGCUAGUAUUUAUUGAAGAAUUACAUACAUCAUUCUUAUGCAAUGGAUUUUGAUGUCCAAAAGACAAUGCUAUGAAAUCGUUGCCUGUGCCUGUGAUAUAAACUGAGAUUUUACUCGGUUGCCUUCUGAUAUAUCAAGCAACCACAUGAAUUUCUUUUGGGUUAUUAUAUUAUGGUACAAGCAAUCUGUUAAUUUGUCAGUCAUAUUGUGGCCAGUUAUAUUUGGGACAACUAAUUGAACUGGGAAGCAGCAUACAUAAUGUCCAAAUUCAAACAUGUGAUGAGUUCAUUCAUGGGGAUAUGUCACAUCCAGAAACAUAUACUGUGAUCAUUAUAAUAUGUGGUCCUGACAGAUAAUUAAUCAGAGAUGGAUGCUUUAUAUGCUUGACUGUUGUCUUAUAAGUUAUAAUCAUGAUCAUUUAGUAUUAAUGUUCUUGAAAAUUUGUUCAGAAAAUUAUUUCUAUACUCAAUUCCUUUUGCAGAUAUUACAAGAUCGUUACUUCUUCAGAAAAUUAUUCCACAAUACUAUCAAAACUACGAGAUGAUGGAGUAGCGUUUGAACCAGAUAAUGGUUUUGAGCUACUGCCACAUAACCCCAUUGAGGUAUGGUUUGACAUCUACACCAAUGCUCUCAUCUCAUAUGUCUUUUUUUUUUUUUAGAGAAGUAAAUUAGAUACCUUAGUGAACAUUUAGAAUAGGUAGUGGCAAUAACUCAAAACUAUAAAGUACCAUCAUUUGGAAGUCUUAUAAAGCAGAUUUUGUCCUCCAUAGGCUCCUUUGAUAUUUUUGUAAAAUAAUGGGCCACCAUGUAGGCCUUUCUUGUGACUUGUGAGACACAAUAGUCGUUAACCUUUUGUAGGAAACAGCACAUAUGUUGUGGAAGCUCCAUUUGAAUGGCCUAGCAAAGUGGAUUUAUGCAAGCAAUGCUUCAACUUCUGGAGUAUAGCCAUAUAUUUUCUCUGGUGCAGCCAUACCCUUUACUGGCUGAUCUUAAAUGCCUAACCAACCCCUGCAUAUUGUUGAAUGCUGUUGUGCCUUUCUGUUUUUUUUUUUUUCUUCACCUCUCUUGACCUAAUUGAAUGGAAAUUCUAGCUAUAACUGUCUUUCCAAUGAAGUUCAUGUCAUUAUUAACUUUGUAAUCCUCUAACUUCUGCUUACCUUUGCUUCAUGGACCAUUCUCUGUAACAAAUGAAGGUGUGAUAUCUAGUAAUUCGACAAGUUCUGCAUCUUUUCACUAUCAUUAAGUAGUUAUUUCACAAUUGGAACAGCCAAAGAAGUAAAGAUAUUCUGAUAACAAUUUUGACAUAUUUCUCUAUGAUUAAAGAUAAACCUCUGCUUUAUUUAUUGUGUCAUGUAACAUGUAGAACAUCUUGUUCUAUGGGCAUUAGAAAUUUGAGAACAUGGUCAAAAUGCAAGUUUGUUAGUUGCAUUGUGUUAGCCUCAAAUUUUUCUCCCGAUGAUUAUUGAUGCUAGAUCCAAAUAGUUUUGUCUAAUAAGCACAUAGUCAAGAUUAGUUACCACCACGGCUCAUAAUCUUUUUCAAGACGGUUGAAUUCUUUAGGGUCCAUUUGGAUACUGAGUGAUGGAAUAAGGAUUUUCUCAUUAUAACAUUUCAGACAAUUAUUAUUUUAUAGGACUAUAAACUUGUAUUAGUUAAAUGGUGUAACCAACAGAAUAGCCUAUUCUACAAAAUAACAGAUUAACUAUUUCUUUCAUUACUGUUACUUAUUUUGGUAGUGACAAAACGUAAAUAUUCUUUAUCUUAGGUAUAUUCUUAUUCCAUACAAGAAAGGUACAAUAUUCUUGAGCCAAAUGGGCCUUUGAGUAGUUCGUCUCGUGUAUUAGAGCUUUGCCACAAUACUUGUUCAACUUUUCAUAUUACGUCUUAAAGCACGGUGUCAUUAUUUAGGUACAAGUUAAUCCUCUAACAUAUUUGUCCUCCAGCCGCUCCAUAUCAUAAUAAUUAAUUCCACUUCUCUCUGGAAUUUCAUUGUGUGGUGUUUUCUGUGCCAGGUAGAUGAUGAAGCCAUGGAGUUAAACAAGGACCUUAUGUCCAAGUUGCUUGAACUUGAUGAUGUUGAUGCUGUUUAUUCGGAUCAAAAGGAUACGUGAUUGUUUUGCAGUCAGGUAUGGAUUCUGUUGCAUCAUCUUAUCAUUUUCUUGCUUAUUUUGGUGAUAGGACUAUCAAUAUCUCUGUACAAAAUCUUGACCAUUCCUAAAUAUACAGAAAUCUUCCUGGCAUCCAGAGGUUUCAAAAAUAUGAUAGAGAGAACUACGACAGAUCUUGAUUUAGUUAUAUUACCAGGUGUUCAUCAUUAUAAGGAAGAAGUUUCAUGUCCCAUCACUUGCAGAGAGAUGAAUUUUUCUUUAAAAUUAUUAAGGUUUCCAUCUGAACCGUUGUGUCAAACACAACUAAUUUUAGACUCGGCAAGAAGCGACCUCUAUUCCUUUUCCCAAAUUUGUUGCAACCACAAAAAUAGAAGGUUGGCACUCUCUUCCCAAUAAUCAUGAUUUCGUAUAUUAGUUAAAAAAACACUUGCCUAGAUCGUGUUGGAUUGUUUGUAUUUGGAUUUUUUUUUUUUUCUGUUGAUAUGUACCUUGUUACAGAGGUUCGUUCCCUAGUCUUAUAAGAGCAUCAGAAGAUGCUAAUUAGAGCCAUAUUUGUGCUUUUAUUUAUUUUUUUUAAUCUCUAAAUGCUUCGUGGACUGCAGUAUCAACAAAUAUUUCUUUUUUUCUUAUGCAUCCAGUGGAGUUGUUUUUUGACAUGGAAUUUUGGAAGAGUAGAUGUUCUUAGACUCUUUCGAUUAUAUGUUGGAAGUUCUGAUUAUUAAAACACCUCUUUUUUUUCCUUUUUUUUUUUUUAAAGGGAUUGAUUGAGAACACAUCAUAUGAUACUUCACUUUUGUCCGUGGUUUUAAAUACUGCUCAGAUGGGUCCGUCUUAAUCAGUGUUUAUCAAUCCAACAAAGAACACCGGUAUUUGUUUUGUCGGUAUAGAGAUAUGGGGGUAAGUAGAUAGGAUCAGCAUUCUUGUAUCAGUUCAAGAUAUGAAUGCAACUAUGGGCGUGCCACUCUUUCUUAUGCUUGCUUCUGAAAGAACAUGAUAAGUUUGGACCACUUGGUUGCGGUAGUAUUGAGGACAUUGUAUUGAGGAAAAAUAUGACCCAUCCCACCAACCCAAUCACUCUUAAAAUUAUAUUCUUUUUCUUUUGGCAGAAUAAUACCAUCCAAACUUUAUCAAACACUGCCCCAUGUAAUUUUGAUAUAAUAUCCCUCCGAAUAUUAGAUUAACUAUAUUAGUUUUGUAGACAAGUAUAUUCUAAACCUAAAUCGAGAGGAAUAAAUAUGCAAUCAUGAGGGUGGACUUUAUGAAUGUCAAAGUGGCCUAGCAAAACUGUAGGACAAUUGUGUGAGCCAUAGUGCUCAAUCAGAGACAGGCAAAAGAAUCCCAUUUCAUACAUGAUAUUUUAAAUAGGGCUUACCCACUACUAUCCUAUCCUUUGACAAUCUGUGCCGAUAAGAUGAUACUAACCCUCUUGCAAUGUCCUGAUUACUAUCACCGGCGAAACUCUUCCGUCGACGUGAGAUCUGAAGAUGAUGAUGAUCCAUAUACUCGACCUACUCCUAUUAAAAGAUGGAUACGUACGUAUUGGCGGCAACCUGAUGCAGCCAUCAGAAACAGCUGGUGGAAAAGCGGACAUGGGCCCCUCCGUCCACAGCUGUUACCAAAGGCAGUCACGGGCUGCUUUAAUCGAAAUUAGUCUCGGAGCCAUUUUAUCCAACACCUGCCAGCCUAAGCCAGAGUGUCCCGCGGCGCCGACCUCUCCGCCACGAGCUCCCAUGUUCCUCUCCUGGCCGUCUCCUUCAUGCCCACACGCCAAACUCGCCGCCGAGGCAGAGACAACUAUGUGUUCCCCCCUGCUGCGUCGUCAACUCGCCACGGGAGCAGACCACCUCGACUGCGUUUGCUUCUCGGCUGCUUAACCGCUCAUCUUCAUCCGUCAACGGCUAUCCUUUUGUUGCCUGCUCUGUUUGAUAGGAAGGUGAUGAUGAUCGCAGACUUCUCAGUUUGGGUCCUAAAAAGCAACUUAAAACUAUGUUCAUUAUUAUGCUAACAAAAGAUAUAAAUAUGUCGAAUAAUCAACACAUUGUUACAUAAUUGAUCGUUUUCGAAUUCAAAUAACACUAUAUACGUUAGUUUAUUGAUAGGGGAAUGAUGAUAUGGUCUAUACCUAUCGGCCAUAACCGACAUCUAUUAGUCACGUAGUCGACACCCCAACAUUAUAUGAUUGAUAGAUGCAUACUUGUCAUGUAGCCGACACCCUUGUGUUACAUGAUCAAUAUCACGUGCCCUAACAACUCAUUAUCAUAUUGGCCAAUACCUAGAUAGUAUGUGGCUGACUUGGAGUUGCCCUUGGACAUUACAAAUUAUAUCAAUAGUUAUUGUACAUUUCAUUGGAACGGAGAGAAGCAUGUAAACCAUCUUUGAUAUCAUUGUGUAUCUUUGAGCAUAACAAUUAUAAAGCUAUAUCAUAAAAGAUCCCCAUAGUUGUAUUUUUUCACACACUGGGUUGUUAGGCUCUAAUACGUUCAACUCUAAAGGACUGAUUAAUACCUUAUAAUCAAAAUUAACUUAAGCAUCGAAAGGGGUUUUGAUGAACAUGUCUGUUUCAUAGAAUUUAACACCUAGGGAACAAAAGGGAUUUGAUAUUUUUUUCGACACUAGUCAAUGACAAAACAGGUAAAAGGACCUCGAUAAGCUCCGAAUCCGGUUCCCUUUCGAAUAAUCAAAAUUUAUAUUAAAUAUUAUAUAUAAUUAGAAAAAUUUGAUAUAGUGGGCAAAAAAUGAGUCAAGUUCAACUCUACUCUUCUAAUACCUGAUGGAUACUAAUAAAUAAGUCAAAAAUAAACAUUAAACUAGGACCUUAAAAUUAUUUUUUUAAAUAUGGCCAAAUUUAUAAAAAAAAUAUAAGUUUUCACUUUUUUUCAUAGAGCAUUCUUGUUUUACUUUAUUCCCGUCCCUUAUUUUCUAAACGAUAAGAUUAUCCAUAAUCUAUACACCAUCUGUCGUUACCUUCACCUCUCCUCACCAUUGAGAAGGCCAAGUUUGCUAAAGGGAUUCAUCAAACUCUAGAUAUCCAUCAUUUUUGAGCUGGAGCUCGUGCUGCCCUAUCUUUUCGACUUCUAUAAUCACUAUUGUUUCGUGUGACACAUCCUCUAUUGUAAGCUCUUCCACUCUACCUUCACCAUCCUCUCCAGGCCCAUCCAAUUAGUUGAGUGAUAUUAUGGUAAUGUUAAUGCCUCCAUUGGCAAGCUAUAGAUAUAGAGUGAUCUUAAGAUUCUCUCUCACAAGCUUGAUCUCAAUCUUCGUGAUGUGAUUACAUACUCUUUAUUAAGACUCUGCAUCCUCAACAAAAUACACUAAUUGAAAUCUUUGCGAGUUGAGUUGCCUGCUUGCCUCUUGAUUGGGCAUGCUGGUGCCAAGAAGGAAAUCUUGGAUAAGUCACUGGCAUGAUGGCUUGCUUUCCUAGAAUGAAGUAACAUCUUUGCCCUUGUAUAACUAUUGAAAACAAUCUUCUUUGAGUUUAAGGAGAAGGUGGUCACAAUGAAACCGUUUGACUUGACGAAGAUCAUGAUAAUGAGACGAAGGCGAAGGAUAAUAUAAAUUUUUAGAAAAUAAAAUAAAAAGCGACAUUAUGCAUAAAAAAAAGUAAAUAUUUAAAUUUUUGGGAUAAAUUUGUCCAAAAUAUAUUAAUUUCUGGUUAAAAACAGUAUUUUUGCUCUUUUUAUCUCUGUCAGCCUUUAUACACUAUGAUCAGACUGUUUUCUUUUCUCUCUCUCCUUCUUUAGUGUUCAUUACCCAAUAAUUACUGCAUUUCACCUAAACAUAAAAGAAAUCAUUACAUCCCCAUCCGAUGACAGCGGAAAGCGAAAGGAGAAGCCGCGAACGAGAAGAGAAGCAAGGAAGCGAGCCUUAAGAGGAGCCCUUCUCGCGGCGGUGAUGGCUCGGCUCUUCCGAGGAGGAAGCCUCGGCGACUCCAAGCGAGAGAGCAGCGGCAGUUCCUCCCUCCGCCUCUCCUCCUCCUCCUCCUCCGUCGCCGCCGCCAUGUCCGCCGCCGAUCUCCUCUCCCCCUUCGGCCAGAUGGGCGUCCCCCUCUCGGAUCCCGAGCUCCGCGAGACCGCCUACGAGAUCUUCGUCGCUUCCUGCCGUACCACCGGCUCCAAGCCCCUCACCUACAUCCCCCAGUCCGAGCGGACGCCGCCCUCCGCCGAGCGCUCCUCCUCGCUCUCCCCCUCGGCCUCGUCGCUGCAGAGGUCGAUCACCUCCACCGCCGCCAGCAAGAUGAAGAAGGCCCUCGGGCUCAAGUCGUCCUCGUCGUCGAAGAAGGGGAGCCCCGGCAAGGACAGCAGCCCGUCCAAGCCCUCCAAAAAGCCGGCCACAGUCGGGGAGCUCAUUAGGGUGCAGAUGAGGAUCUCCGAGCAGACGGAUUCCCGGAUCCGGAAGGGGUUGCUCCGGAUUGCAGCGGGGCAGGUGACUAAUUUUACAGAUCACUGUUGUUCUGCCUAGAUCUCUAUGUGUUUGUUGAUCUUCUUGACUUCUUAGUCUUCAUUAUACACGCUGCUAGUGUAGUAAGAACUGAUCUGACUUCUUAAACUGAUAAGAUCAGAUGAAGUAGUUAGACUGAUCAAAAUUGUCUGUUGGAGAUCUUAAGAUGUGAAUCAAUUAGUAGGAAAUUCAAAUCAGGGCAUAAAAAUUUCCAAAGAUCUCUUAUAUAUGCUAAUUAUUGCACUUCUUUCUACAAUCCUUCUGAUCCACUUAGUUUAGACUUUGCUUGUUCACUCCUGUGCUUGUAUUUGUGUUUACCUGUUAAGUUCUGGCACGAGAAGUGGUAUAUUCCUGUAUCUACGCUAGUUUUUAUUAACCUCCUGUGAUGGUCAAAAGGUUCUUCCUGCAGAAAAUGAGUCUUUUCCUGUUAGUUUAGACUUUGUUAGAGCUUUCCAUUCCUACUCACUUCCCAUAUGUAAAUAGGUUUGUACUUCUCACUGUAAUUUUCUUUAUAUGCGUUCUGUCCACCAAUGAACAUCCAGAUGAUAGCACUUGAACAUUCCUAUCUAUACAGGGAUUACUGUAUGAUCUGUUUGGUUUUUUGGUCAAUGCUUAAUUAUGGUGUUUCAUGGUUGUCUGUUUACUCGUCCAUCAAACUUAUGAUGUCAAUGCACUGUGAAUAAGUGACGUGCCAGAGAGUUCUAGGAUUUUUACUAUGAAAUUAUUUUUUAUCAUUUUAUGGUGUUUCAUGGUUGUCUGUUUACUCGUCCAUCAAACUUGAUGUCAAUGCACUGUGCAUAAGUGAUGUGCCAGAGGGUUCUAGGAUUUUUUCUAUGAAAUUAUUUUUUAAUAGACACUUUCUCCAUAUAUUUUCACAGGAUAAAGGAACUAAUGUGGUUGACUUUCUUGGUUUGUGAUAGUGGAUUUUUGUUGAUUUAGUUGGUGACCGAUGAUAACAUUUAAGACUGGCAGUUGCAUCUUAAUUGAUGGUUAAUGUGUCCUUUUCUUAUAAUUUAAGUUUCAUAAAUUGCUAUUGUUCUCAAAUAAUAUGUUUGAUUAGUAUUUAUUGGUCUUCCUCCAUGAUGACAGCUUGGGAAACGUGUGGAGUCAAUGGUUCUGCCUCUAGAGUUGCUGCAGCAGUUCAAAGCUUCAGAUUUUUCUGACCAGCAAGAAUAUGAAGCCUGGCAAAGUAGAAACUUAAAGGUUCUCGAGGCUGGGUUGCUUGUGCAUCCUCUUGUUCCAUUAAAUAAAUCAGAUAAUGCAUCACAACGACUUAGACAAAUAAUACGUGGAGCUUCCGAGAAGCCGAUUGAAACUGGAAGAAAUUCGGAGUCGAUGCAAGUGCUGCGUAGUGCUGUGAUGUCCCUUGCCUGUAGAUCUCCUGAUAGAUCUGCUUCAGAUUUUUGCCACUGGGCUGAUGGUUUUCCACUGAAUCUCCACCUGUACCAAAUGUUAUUGGAGACUUGUUUUGAUGCCAGCGAGGAUGGAUCGAUAAUUGAUGAAAUCGAUGAGGUUUUAGAGUUGCUAAAGAAGACUUGGGUGAUACUGGGCAUAAAUCAGAUGCUUCACAAUCUCUGCUUUACUUGGGUUUUAUUUCACCGUUUUGUUACAACUGCUCAAGUAGACAUCGAUCUGCUGCAUGCAGCUGAUAAUCACAUGGAUGAAGUUGCAAAGGAUGCUAAAGCAACAAAAGACUCAGUGUAUUCAAAGAUAUUGAGUUCAACUUUGAGCUCAAUAUUGGGGUGGGCAGAGAAAAGACUUCUUGCUUACCAUGACACAUUUAAUGCUAGUAAUAUUGAAUAUAUGCAAAGUAUUGUAUCAUUAGGUGUAUCGGCUGCCAAGAUACUAGUGGAAGAUAUUUCUAAUGAAUAUCGUCGUAAGAGGAGAGAAGAAACUGAUGUAGCUCGUAGCAGGGUUGAUACGUAUAUUCGGUCAUCACUUCGUACAGCUUUUGCUCAGGUAAGUUCUGCUGAAUUGUCAGAUUGAGUUCCUGCAGCCUGCUUGUUCCUGUUAACCUCUAUCUUUUUCACAUGCCUUCAUGGACUUUACUAGAUUGCCUCUAGAUUUUUACACAACAUCAAUCAUUUGUGUUAAUGUAUGGUUCUUUUUUGCUCCAAAUCACCCAUAAGACAAUAUGACUGCACAUUUAACGAGUAGUUCCCUGGCUGUAUUAGUUCAAAGUUCAUCCAUUACUUGGGUCUCAUGUAACUGUACGCUUGUACAUGUACCUGUUUUACCUUACUGGAAUGAUGGAUAAAAGGUUGGUUAGUCUGCUAAAAGGCUAUAUGAUUAGAUGAGAUCGUCUAGUAUUAGUUGCCUGCCUACUUCGAUAAUUCUGAUCCAUUGAUCGAUCUGAUACAGAGAAUGGAACAAGCAGACUCCAGCAGGCGAUCAUCGAAGAACCAGAGUACUCCUACUCCUGUUCUUUCCAUCCUGGCAAAGGACAUUGGUGAACUAGCAAGCAAAGAAAAAGAGUUGUUCAGUCCAAUGUUAAAGAGAUGGCAUCCACUUGCUGCAGGUGUUGCUGUAGCUACACUUCAUUCUUGUUAUGGAAACGAACUAAAACAGUUCAUAGCGGGUGUUAUGGAACUAACACCAGAUACAGUUCAAGUUCUUAAAGCUGCAGACAAGUUAGAGAAAGAUCUUGUGCAUAUUGCUGUCGAAGAUUCGGUCGAUAGUGAUGAUGGGGGUAAGUCAUUAAUCAGAGAGAUGCCGCCUUAUGAGGCUGAAUCUGCAAUCGCCAAUCUUGUCAAAGUGUGGAUCAAGACAAGAGUAGACAGGCUGAAGGAUUGGGUUGACCGCAACUUGCAGCAGGAGGUUUGUCUUGUUUUUUCUUCCGUGCAACGGAUGCAUAAUUUUCCUUCAUUGUACAUACUAAACAUACUAUGGAAUGAUUUUAUCUAUUGUUUUUCUUUUUAAAAGUAUGAAUGUAACCUUGGUUAACAUAAUGGUUUUAUCAUCUUCGUCAAAGUUUUCUCCCAUGACAUGAUCUUCUGGAGUGUAGCUCAAAACCAAGAUGGCCUAUAUGAAGUUUGAGUAUGGUUUUUGGCUAACUGUCAACCCCAUGUGAACCCUCUAAAACUAAGUGAACUCUUGCCCGAGCUAAAUUUAGUUAAAUGGACUACUCUUGUUAGUUGCUGUUUAAUUUCACACAAACAAGGGGCUAAGUUCCCAGAGCUUGCCAGGAGUGCAGAAGAGAAAACAUUACAAGAAGUAGAAAGAAACAAAAAAAGGGCAGGGAGGGUUGACACGCUUCAAGCAAGAUAAUGAGUACCAUUAGAAAGGCACAAAUAAGCCAAUGAACCACUAGCAACUGAUGUUAUUUGCUUCUGUCAUAAUAGUAAAUGUGUUUUUACCUCUCACUAUGGCAUCUUGAAAUUUUUUUUUUAAAGUACUAUCAUUCUUAUAAGCAUGUUGCACUUCUUUUUACUAGGGCCUCCAUGUUCGAGAUUUCACUUUGCAGUCUACAUGUAGGCCAUAUAUUAAGAACCCCUGGUUGUGCUUUUGCCUUUUUCUAAAUGUGCAUAGGUAGAUUUGUGCCUUUUAAAUAUGUAGUAAAUGACGAUUCAUUGAUUUAGAGACUUAUAUGACACAAAAACUCUUUAUGUGCCAACAUGUAAUAUUUUUAUGUUUUUUCACUUUUUAAACAUUUUAAUAUAACCUGAUUUCUGAUAUUGUUAUGUGGAACAUCUCUGUAGAAUUGGAAUCCAGGGGCAAACAGAGAGAACUGUGCACCUUCUGCAACUGAAGUUCUACGGAUUAUUAAUGAGACUUUAGAUGCAUUCUUUCAACUGCCUAUACCAAUGCAUGCAGCCAUGCUUCCUGACUUGUUGAUAGAACUUGAUAGAAGUCUGCAACAUUAUGCAUUAAAGGUGAAGUCUGGAUGUGGUAAGUAUCAAGUAACACUGCAAAUAGGUUGCUUCAAUCGGUGGAAUGUUAAAUUAUUUACCGUUGUCUUUCUGUUCAGCAACCCGAAGUAGUUUUCUGCCUUCGUUGCCAACAUUAACCAGAUGUGAGGUUGGUUCAAAACUUUGGAAGAAAAAAGAGAAGCCACAGAAUUUGCCAAAACGCAGAUCACAGGUUGGAUCAAGAGAUAGUAAUUCAUUUGGUCUGCCACAGCUCUGUGUACGCAUGAAUUCACUUCAUUAUAUACGGACAGAGUUAGAGAACCUGGAGAAGAAAAUAAAAACUUGUCUACGGAAUGUUGAAUCAGCACAAGCAGAUAUAUCAAAUGGGUUGGAGGUCAGCUUCGAGCUUACUCUGGCUUCUUGUCAAGAAGGAAUUCAGCAACUAUGCGAGACAACAGCUUACAAGGUGAUCUUCCGUGACUUGAGUCAUGUUCUGUGGGAUGCCUUAUACAUUGGUGAGACUACUUCAUCGAGAAUUGAUCCGUUUAUAAAGGAACUUGACCCGAUUCUGGAGAUGAUAUCAAAUACGGUGCACAACAGGGUGAGAAAUCGUGUCAUAACUGCAUUAAUGAAGGCUUCUUUUGAUGGGUUUUUGCUAGUUCUUCUUGCCGGCGGCCCACUUCGUGCAUUCUCCCGCCAAGAUUCACAGAUAAUAGAUGAGGAUUUUAGGUCACUCAAGGACAUAUACCUGGCCGAAGGUGAUGGAUUACCCCAGGAACUAGUUGAGAAGGCCUCGGCACAAGUGAAAAAUGUGCUGCCUCUAUUCCAUGCUGACACCGAAAGCCUCAUCGAGCGGUUUAGACAAUUGAUUACAGAAACAUAUGGCGCUUCGGCCAAAUCCAGGUACCCGUUACCUCCAACCUCUGGCAACUGGAAUCCUACGGAGGCCAAUACAGUUCUGCGGGUGUUGUGCCACAGAAACGAUGAGAGUGCCACAAGGUUUCUAAAGAAAACUUACAACCUCCCGAAAAAGCUGUAGCCUCAGAGUACUACUGCUGCCGACAGAUGAAUCGCUGGUUUUCUGGAAGCUCUCUGUUUUCUAUCUUUCUGAAAUAUUUUUGCCAUGAGUUGCAAGUAUAUUCCAACUGCUGAUGAAUCUGAUUACAACAUAGUUCAUAUGCCAGCACUGUUUAACUCAGGGGAUCUAAUCCUUUACAGGCAUGUGGAUGUGUGAUCCAAUAGCUGAAUGAUCGACCAGGUUCAAGGUGGGAGCAAAUCCAUCCUUCUUUUAAUGAGUGAGCAUGUCUGAAGCUUAGGAUGUGUAUACUACAUUUAGCAGUAUUCUUUUCAUUUACUAGUAGCUAUGCUGCGCUCGGUGAUCGUCUCUAAUCCGGUUUUCUCUGGUGGGUAAUGUAUGCUUGCAUAAGUUAAAAGAAAAGCUGUUGUGGAUAAGUUCUUUCUAAAUGUAUUAUGACCUGCUCUUGUAUUGACAACAUUGUGCUACAUGUUGUUUGCUUUUGUGCUCUUCUCAGAGCCACACUGAAAUACAAUGUUUCAACAUGAUUUGUUUCAUCAAUUGGGUUGGCAAUGUUACAUGCAUUAUGCCGCUAAUCUGAUCAAUCAUCUGUUUUUACCCAAUGGAUCCAUCACUGGUGAGAGAGUUUGAUUUAUUCUACUACUCUCUUUGGAAUGAUAAUUCUACAUCUUCUUUUGUCCCUCUUACUUGAGUUGGCUUAGGAUGGAUGGCUGAAGCUUUGGUACGAUCGAGGUUAAUUUUCUUAUCAACCCUUUAGUGACAGAAGAGAUGCUCUCUGAACUUAUCGGGACUGUCGUAGAGACCCAAUGUCUAAAGUCUUCUAUCAUACUAUACUGUUCUUCUUCUUCUUGCUUUCGGACCGCAUCAAGACUCAUUAUUUUCAUUCGUAAGUGCAAUAAUCCAUGUCAGGUUAGGGAUUUUGGGCCAAUCUCUUUGUAUAAUGUGAAUUAUAGGAUCAUUGCCAAUUUUUUUGCUAAUCGAAUGAAAUCUUUUCUUGACUCCCUAAUUAAUUUCUAAGGUACAAUCUGUUUUCUUACCUAAAUUUAUGUCUUCUUACCUAAAUUUAACAUAAAUAAAAAUAUUUUGAUUAUCCUAAGAGAUUGUAAUGUACGAUUUUAAGAACAAAAAUUCUUAUGUAUUAAUUUGUCUUGAUUUAGAAAAAGCUUAUGAUCAUCUCCUGACAUUCAAUAUAUUAAUCUCUUAUAUAUAUGCUCUAAUGACAUUUUUCUAUGCUUUAUUUAAAGCUAACCAAACCUCUUGCCAAAGUGUUCAAAAAAAAUUUUCAGAAUCACUUACCAAUUUUCAAAUUAUUGUCCUAAAAUUUGGUAUAUGCCUCCCUCAAACCACUUAUCUCGAUAUAAAGAAAGAAGUAUGCAAUCGGUUUAACAUCUAAGAAGGCAACUUUUCUAUCGAGCAUCCUAAAACUAUAGUAACCCUUUGGCAAGAGGGUGUCUUCUCAUGUUCUUAAACAAACUGUAACCAAGAUCACCAAUAAAAUUGGGACUCGGCAAUGAUCCUUUCUCUCAAACUGACACGAUCAUUCUUAUUAAGUCAAUCUUGAAUAUUAUAUCCUAACACUCUUUUAGGUAUAACUUGAAUGCCUCAAUCUGUGUAUUAUCGGGCUAUGGCUUUAUUUCAAGAGCUUUUACAUAAAACCAAUGAUAGGAUAGGGUAAAUUAAAUCCAAAGUUACUUGGAACCCUCUUCGGAGAGCCUCUUGCAAGAGAGGGUCAUUCUGAGAAACAGUGACCGGAGGCUACUGCAAUAAAGGAAUGAUUAUUCUCAACGAAACAACUGAGAUUUAUAAGAUACACAUUGAAAGAGACUCGAGGAUGACGACGAUGGAUCUCGUGACACUUGAAACUGCUCUCUCUCCCUUGAAGAAUCCGUAGUUUGAUUCAAGAUAUAGUUGCCAAUCUUUCUUGAAAUUUAAAAUCUUAUAUGUACGAAGGAGAAAUUAAUUACUUGUAAUGUGUUUUCUUUUGAUUGGUUGUGAUGGGAAUGGGAACCAUUGAUUGGUUGUGCUCAGCUUCUUAAUAUAAUUUUCACUUCUUUGGGAAAAACAAAUAAACAAAAACAAAAAUGUUACAUGCUGAUAUCAUUGCUGAUCUGACAUGUUACUCCUUCCUAGCCAUAAUCGAAUAAAUACAAGGUAAAGGCAUUGCUUAGAAACACGCUUACUCUCACUUGCACUUUGUCCGAUUUAUCUUCCAAUGAAUCUAUUUUGGGUUGGCUUUGUCCACAAUAAAGUCUGCUCUAUGGAGCAGAAUCAAGAAAUCACUUUACCUAAACAUAACAAAAGCACAGUUCAAUGAUCAAAAGAAAUAACAGCAGAGCGCUACAAGGCUUAGAAUUUUUUAGUUGGUGGUGGAUGAGCAAGGCACAAAAUUUGCAGGUUGGAACCUCUUGAUUUACCUCCAUCCGCUAUGAAUCUGAUCCAAAUCAGAUAUCAGGAAUUUGGACAUCUUCCAACCAUCUCAACUCUGCAUGUGCAAUCACAUGGAUACUCAUCAUGCCAUAAGAAAAAACAUGAGAAAAGCUCUCAGACUUUCCAAAGUAUCAGCACCACCAGAAUGGGAAGUAGCUGUGAUGCUAUCUUGCUAAGAAGACGAUAUCGGCACCAUAGUGAUGACGCCAAUUGUAACAAUAUGCUCCAAUUUUUAACUCGGGAACAGGGACUGAUUCUGAGCACAGCAAAUUGGAAGGAUAAUAACUGAUCCAUAUGUGCCAAUCCCAAAUACUGCGGCAGGCAUCUAUCAAGAAACAAUAUCAUGGGUUUAAUUCAGUCCAUAAACAUGAAGUGAAUUGAAAAACCAAGAUGAAACCAUACAGAUGAGAAAAUCAAGCAACGGAAAUGAUCAAUGGCAUUAAAAGCCUGCUAUUUAGCAAAGACUACUCAAACCAUUUACUGUUGAAUGGUUGCCAUGGCAGAAAAGAGAUGCCAUUCUCUUGGUGUUUUGUUAAAGGCAGGAGCAACCAUAGGGCCGUGUCCAGUGUCAACCAUAAAAAUUUCCUUUAUAUGACAGUCAUUUAAAAUUGACACUUUCAGCAUAAUAUAAGACUACAUAAUUUGCUUGAUAGAUGUGAACUGAUGGUUAUGAUGCCGGAUAAUGAAAGGAAUGCAACUUUUAUACAUGAAAAUCUCCAUUAUUUCAGAUCUAAAAGAGAAUGGCGUAAAGUCCUGGAAAACAAUAACAUGUCGCAGAUUCUUGCUUGCUUUUGCAAAGAUUACCACAACCAAAAAGGUGGUCUGAUCUUUCCGACAAUGGUUGCCCCGAAAAAACUAAUUAUGGUAAAGUGGGAGAACCAUUAAAAUUGUGAACAAAACAAGCAAUUCAAGCACACAUAGCCAUUGAUUUUAGGCAUACCUAACGAUAAUUCUUCUAGCAUAUCAGACAAGGCUUCCCUGAGCUCGUUCCUUCCCAGCCAUCAUCAUUUGUUGAAAUUGCAAAAGCUUCGUUUUCCUUAUAUCAAUAAUAUUUUUCGGCAUCUGAUCAACAUGACCAUAUUCCUCCACCAGGCGAAAGAACUCCUGCUUGGUGAGACUUUUCUUCUGAACUAAUUGGUCAACUAUCACAUCCAUUAACUCUUUAUUGCGUCGCAAUAUCUACAGAAUAUCAAUUCGAUUAUGCAAUUUAAUCCACAUAACUAAGAUUUACUAAAAGUAAGGUUACAGGAACAUAGUAAAUACCUCUUUUGCUCGAUCAUAGCAAUUGUUCAGUAACCGCUGUGCCUCCAGAUCAAUAUCCUGGUUAAAUAUUCAUUGUCAGACAUACAACACUUUUGGCAGUGCAUUCAAAAAUUACAAAAUUAUAGAAGGUACAUUGAUCCGAUCUGCAACCCAGAAGUUGGACAGUCCAUGAUAUUUUUCUGAGAGGCCACCAAGAACAAAGGAACGUGCAGCUGACCUUGCAUUGUCUGCUGUUUCUGCCCAAAUUGUACUCAGCUGUAAUUGUAUGUACAACAUUUUCAUCUUAGUCACAUUGGUUCCAAGGGACACUGAGGAACUAAAUUUUUAACACAGCUAACCAAUCUAUAUUAACGACAUUAAAGAUGUACACCGGUUGGUAAUGCCUGAGUACUAGAUAAACUGAAGAACCAUAUUCAGAAAGAAACAAGGAAAAUAUAUAUCAUUAGUCAUUACCAAUUGAAAGCCCAUUAUGAUGUGUGUAUUAUCAAGUUGGUGACAUCCAGUAUAGAAAGAAAACUGAAAAAUAAUAAUUUCAUUUUCACCCAAAACAUAUAACAUGUGAAUUGAACCAGCCUGCAAUCCAUUUGAUAAAGAGGUCAACUCAAAUCAUACUAUCAGACAAUUAACUCAUUUUCAACAACAUUUGACCUUAAACUCAACAUAUAGUCAUAUACUGUCUAAUCAACUCAGCAGUAGUAAACAGCACAUUGUUUUUGGUAAUGAUAGUUUUAACACGCAUAACUUAGUUUAUCACUCAGGUCAAUUUGCGAUAGUUAGAAGAAGCGAAAUGAUUAAUGUUAGUAGUAAGAGAGGAGGCAGAGAAAACUAUAAAUAAAGAUUUGAAUACUCUAAACAUAUGUCUCUUUACGGACCUGAAUGAUGGCAAAAGAUCCGUGUAACCGAUUCCAAAUAAUUGAGACUUAAGGCUUAGUUGUUGUUGUUGUCAUCAUCAAUUUGGAUCAAUCGUGUCAAUGCGUAAUGCUUGAAAUCAGACCAUUAAUUAAUCAGGUUAAUCCUGUCAACCUAAAUAUAACCCAAGGCCUCUCUUACCAUGUCGUGUUUGUGGUGGGUCCAGAAUUGCCACCCCAUGGCUGGAUAGUAGUACUGGGCUACUAAAGUAAGCUCUGAGCACCAGGCCAUUUUCAUGCAACUUGUUUGAACAAUAUAUCUGUGACCUGUUAGAAUGGUCAUUGCAUGUAAGAUUUUUCAACGGCUUCAAUGAGCCCUAGCAUCCCUUGCAAGAAUGAGUUCUCUUUCCCGUUGAAGCAUUAACAUAAUUAAUGCUGAUUCAAGGCCAAGCAUAAUAGAGAACAAAACAAUAGAUACAUUAUGUGAAACCAACAUAAUUAGAAGAACCAAGGAUUUACUAUGCUAGUGCAUAGUGCAUGCUACACAAUUGUCUCAGAUAUGGCAUCGACAUGCAGUGGAUCAUAAACAGGGAAAUGGCAUAGUGCAGCACCAGUGGCAUGGUACACAGCAUGAACCAUAAAGAACUAUGACAAACAGGGGCUGACUAUAAAGCAUGACCUUGUGAACCAGGGCUACUCCAACUCAAAAGACCUGUGAGUAAGAAGUGCUGCGUAACAGAUACAGGCUAACUUACUCUAAGUUAGAUAUCACUACGUAUCUACAAUUGAAACAAACCCCGCAAAAAUAAAAUUUAUGCUUUAUUACCUUUUAACUAGCAGAAUCAAAGUUAACACAACUAUGACAAUCAAUCAAGUCAAGUACAAAUCAAUCGUGAAUUCGUAGAAUCAAGUAUAGCAGGUUUUUACUUCCUAUAAUAUAUCAUGUAAAAGGACAACAAUACAAGCAACAACGGAUUAGUCCCUUUCAACAAAUGUGUCCUUCCAAACAAGAAAAUUAAAUAUGGUACACCUUCAAUUACCUGAUUCUCACCAAACCAGAUUUCAUCAGCAGCCCGAGGGGCUAUCUGAACAGUGAUAUGAUCAAUCAGGGACUGGCGGCUGUAAAAAUAAAAAAACACAUAAGCCAAUCAUUUUAAAAAAAUUGCCCAACUUAAAAUAAGAUACAGCUAAAUUCAGGUUCUAUUGCCAAAAUUUUUACACCCCAUAUGCUAUUUAAAGUGCAAUAUUGGAACUUGAUGCACCAAGAAACAAAAAUUUUGGUUCCAAAAGAAAGAAGUACCUAAGCAUUCCUUUUGUAAAUUUAAUAUGAUCCAUCUUGACUCGCACAUAACCCAAUUCUCUGCCAGCUCGAGGUGCAAUGGUUAUCUGGAUGGAGAAACAAGGCUUCAACUACUAAAAAUCAUAUAAAUGCAGCUUCAAUUGAUGACUCUAACUAGCUUCAGGAAGAUUAUUAUGCAUAUAAACAUGUAAGAAUACAAACAUGUCCCCAUGACAGGUGCGAGUGCCAAAUCGGCAGUAUAGUUCAUAAUAAGAUCAUAGCUGCAAUUAGUAUCGGCAUAAUGAUCACUAAGUGUCUAUUCUAGACAGAUGGAUGCAUGAUUAAAUAAAUAUAAUGAAUUGAUCCUGUGAGUAAUAUGAAAAAGUGCUGCACAGAAAUGCGUCAAUUUAUAAAGCAGAGAGUACAGACAGUACAAACUCAAUGUUCUUUAGAUCAGGGAAGUUGACAGCUACAAUAGCCAUAGCUGCUUCAUUUAGAGCCAAUCGUUUCCACAUCUCUGGCCUCCUAUCCUUUUUAUCAAGCAUUCCUCUUUCUUCAAUUUGUGCAGCUUGUAAUAAGUCAUCAGUUGUUAUCUGGACCAGUGCAAAUAAUUUAAUAAAAUAGGUUAAGGACACCCUGAUAAAAUAUAGCAACCAUAGCAGAAAAGCAUCAAGAAGUGCAAUCACAAUCAGAUAUUAGCAUUGAGUGACAUCCUUGAUGUGCCAAGUCCAUCAUUCUUUUAUACUCCACAAUAAUAUACAAUUUGAUUUUUUUAAUUGAUCUAGACAAGAAAUAUGGUGCAAGAGCAUUUUUAUACCCUUCCAAGCCCCAGCUGUCAGAGAGAUCAACCACAAAGGUGGGAAAAAUGUGCAGAUUACACAAGAUGGAAAUCAAUCCUAAACAUCCCCAUGAUAGGGGGGGGAGAGAGAGAGAGAGAGAGAGAGAGAGAGAGAGAGAGAGCAAACAGCUAGUGAUACUAAUAAUAUAUGCUAAAACAAAUACAAUAAAUGUACAUCAAUUUUGCAACGUUGGAGACAAGUCGCUCGUAAUAUAUGCAAUUCUCACAAGAUACAAAAUGACAAUAAUUUAAGAACAACUUAAACUAGAUAAUCUAGCUCCGUUAAUUAGAGAAACAUACAACAGAACAGAAAAGCUGGAGAGUAGAAUAGACUCUCUCUCUCUCUCUCUCUCUCCUUAUUUCUACACAAGACAAAAAAGAAAUGAAAUUUACUAAUACUAGAGAAAGUAGGAUGUUUUUCUCUUUUUUGUUCAUUUUUGACCAGUGAUGUCCAUGCGGUGGCCCAGAAAGUUAAUGGUCUGAAUGCAGAGUAGCUUAUAAGGGAUAAUAUAAUUAUAGCAUUAACUAAACUGUUAGUUCAUCCGACAAUAAUCUUAUCCAACCACUGUAUUAAUGCAGUAUUUCACAAACUAAAUAGUCAUCCUAGACAAUGAACAUCUCAUAUCAGGAUGCAUUUGUGCAACCAAAAAGAGUGAUAUCAGUUAACUACUUAAUAUAUAUUAGAAUCAUCAAAGAAUUAGACCGACUUGCAAGAGGUAGUUUACCUCAGACCUUCCAUCACGUAUCAUAUUAAUGGCAGCAAUUUCAAUAAUGUUUGCCAGCUCAGCACCAACCAUUCCAUUAGUCAUACUGGCAACUGCCAUAUAAUCCACAUCAUCAGCCAUUGGCUUUUUCCGAGCGUGAACCUGUUAGGAACAAAGCCAAAGUUUUUUCGUUGCAAAAAAAGAACAUAAAAUCUUUUAAUUAAUUUUGCUUCGGCAGAAAACCUAUAAAAAAAAAUAGUUUGAGUGCUGCAUGUUUGCGUGCUUAAUAUAAUAAAAAGAACAUAUAUAGCUGAACUGAACAUAUGAAUUUAAACAAAUGAAGCAUCUAAAAAACUGAAAAAAAGAGACUUUCACUCAGAGUAUAAAGCCAAACAAAAUUAGGAGAGCACAAAAACCUAAAUAUUUGACUCAGCUUUCCCUUGAAAUUCUCAAAAGAAGAAACAUUAAAAUGACCAAUUUAAACAGACAUUUGCAGGCUCAAGCCAAAAUAAGAAAAACUGUAUAAAAUGACUUUUACAGAAAAUACACUACUGAUGCAGCAGAUUCUAUCAUGUUUGUAAUGCAAAGCUCAAAACUAGGGCUGUUGGCUUUUGCAAAUACAAAUCUCUUCAACAAUGAAUUGCCAUAGGAAUAAUAAAAGCUAAAAGGCCAACCCUAUGAGCAUGUACAGAUAAUACAGAAUAGGUAAGCAGGCAGAAGCUCCUACAAGGAAAACUGGUCAUUGGAAAACCCAUAGAAACUUUUGACUAAACAUCUCAUGUCAAAUGAAUUAUCACAGUUAGUAAAUUAGACUUUAAUACCUUCAGAAUCUCAAUUCGACCAAUUAGACUAGGCUUUGGUAUGAAUAUUUUUCUAUCAAACCGCCCUGGUCUCACAAGAGCUGGAUCAAGGAUAUCUGGUCUAUUGGUUGCAGCUAUGGUAAUUACAUUGCCUCUUCCUUCAAAGCCAUCCAAGCAUACAAGGAGCUUCAGUGAUUACAAGAAGAUAAGGAUGUCAAAUAUAUUAAACUUGUAAGAUAAUCAACUAUAAUAAGAAUAGCAGCUGUUCACCAUUUCCUUUCUUUUACCUGAUUGAGUGUGGCAUCUCGUUCUUGUCCACCAGAACCCUUGAUAAGACCACGUUCUCUUCCAACAGCAUCUAGUUCAUCAAUAAACACAACAGCAGGAGCCUAGAAAACAUUCAGAAAAUAUUUUUUAAGGUCAAACUGAGGCCAGCAAUAACAUUAGACUUCAAAUAGCAAAUAAGUGUAAAGUGAUCAGCAUCUCGGCAUAUAAACAGCACUUUUACACUAAACAUGUAGUAUAAGCGUAAACAAACAAACAAACAAAAUAGUAUACAGAGAUAAGAAAUAACACUAAAAAGAUUAACUAAAAACAUGGGGAAACUAUAAUUUACUGCUAUGUUGAGCAUAUGAAAUUGUUAGAAAGAAGAUUCAAUGCAACUCGCCAGGGCUUACAUUUUCCUUGGCUUCUUGGUACAGUGCACGAACACGAGAAGCACCAACACCAACAUAUAUUUCCACAAAUUGUGAAGCUGAAAUUGAAAAGAAGUUCACACCAGCCUCACCAGCAACAGCUUUCGCUAAUAAUGUCUUACCCACACCAGGAGGCCCACACAGAAGUAUGCCACCUAUAUCAUAGCAGUAUUAGCAGAUAUAUGAGACCAUAAUGUUGAAUGAAGGCUUUUAUACAUAAUAAACUGUAUGUGUUACAAUUCUGGAGAAGGAAGAAUUAUUAAGACCUGUAGUGUCUGAUAAUCAUUUAGUAAUUAAUAAAAUCAAACUUUGAAGCUUCAGUAUCUGAUAAUUUGUUAAGUUCUGAUAUAGAAAAUAGAAUAAAUAGUUUCAGAGUGUUGUAAUUUGUAAAUAUUCACUAAGGCCAUUUCCUUUAUUCUUACUGGAUCCUACUGUUUCUGCCCUACGUCUGGUUUAGGUGAAAAGGUGAAUCAUAAAGGGCGAAAAGGAAUAAUCAAUAUCAAGUCCACAUCAAAGAAUCACAUGUGAUUAAUAGGCAUGCCCUAUCCAAAAAAAAAAGAUGAAACAAUAAUCUGAAGUAGUUACCCAACAAGAACCAGAUGGACUCAAUUUUUUGAUCCGGCCUAAAACACAUCACCAACUAGCUUGACAAGUUCAAGAGAAAUUACCUGUUGUAGAUGCCUCAAAUUAGAAAAUAGAUACUUGCAUACAGAGAUUCAGCGAGAAAAUAGUCAGGUUCUACCUGAUAAGCUCAAUCUCUUCAGGAUACUAAACUUUUAUACUUCACAACAUAUGCAGAAAUUGGCAAAACCAUGGGAGAUAAAUAUGUUUGCCAAUACUCCAAAUUUUGUAUUAAUGGUCAAGUCUUGCCCUAAAUAUCCAGGUUGCUUAGGAAAUUUUUGAGUUCACCAGUUUUUCCAGUUAUGCAAACUGGCAAAAUAUUGAUGAACGAGUCAUCUCAGAUUUGUUUUAAGCAACUUCCAAGUUGCUGAGAAAUCUUUAGACGCUUUAAGCAACUACAAGCAGAACACCUAUUCACGGUUUCAAGUGCUAAUGUAAUAUAAUCCAUCCAAAGCAUUUAUCCAGCACUUGUCAUACUUCCAUGUGGCUUCAAAACAGAUAACUACAUUUAUCCACCAUUUUUCAUGCAUUCAUGUGACUACAAAACAGAUGACAAUUUAAAGGAAUAAUAUUAAAGAAACAGAUGACUACACAGUAGAAGAACUAACAAAUGAUACAAUAAUAGAGAAGUAAAAGAAAUAUGUGCUUAACAGGAUUAUGAUAGCAUAUGCACCGAUUAUCAUGCUAUGACAUAGUGCUCUCUCUCAGUAUAACCAUAUAACCAUGAAAAAUAAUAACAGACACAACGUACAGCAAUAACAACAAUAACAACAACGACAUGUCAUCUUUGCAACUAUUUGGGGUAACAUACCCAACCUCAACACAUAAAUCAAGUAAUGUGAUACAGCAUGGAGAAUCAUGUAAACUUUGGGUCAGUGGAAUAUUUCAUAAAGACCAUAAGCAAAAUGAAAAAAACCAACAAUGGAAAGCAAAUUUAUGUGCUCAUGCUUCAAACUUAGGAAUAGGCAGAUUAUGAGUUAUAGCAUCCGUAUCAGAUCAUGCAUGUUCUUGAUGCAUCUUUUAACCAAGUAACAAGCAAUUAUCCUGUAGUUAACUAUUAUUUUAAGAAUUCGACAUAAAGAAUGCCAAUCAAAGCCAAGUAACUAUGAGUCUGUGGCAUAAGCCACUAUACAUGGAUUAACUAGCUCAACAUAACCUGUGAAGAAAACUAUUUUAAGCCUCACUCUUCAGAGCUUUGUUCCAGAAUGAGAGACUGAAUAAGACAUUGACUAUGCAUGCCUAGUGUAACUCCAAUGAGAUUGUCAGACUAUAAUCUGCAUUAAGAAGAAACACUAUAACAAUCUAAACAAGGACCCUUACCUGGUAUUUUGAUGCCUCUUCUCCUGUACAUUUCCCCCAAUGUGAAGAACUUCACAAUCUCCUCAAGCUCUAGCCUUAUUUUCCCAAGACCAGCAACAUCGCUAAACUUGACAUCGACUCCCCUCUCCAAGUAUUGUGGUACUUUACUAUUCGCUCGCCUCACCCGAGCACCUGACUGCAUAAACUUCAUUGCCAUCUUCAUAUAAGGAUUCUGCUCAUCUCCUCUCUCCUCGCUCUCAUCUUCCCCUGGUCCCUCAAGUCCUGCCAUUUCCCUCUCCAACUGCCUCAUUUUCUUCCGUUCCUCUGCCUCUGCCUUCUCAAUCUUCAGCCUAUCUUCAUAAUCCUUCUGCUGCUUCCUAUAAUUAAGCACAACAGUUCUGUAGAAGACGUAGAAUAUCACGAACCCAAUAGCAGUGGCAACAUUCUUGUCCCUCGCCAUAUCAUCCCACAUAUAGGCCAUCCGCUGAUAAUUCUUUCUAGCCUGCCGUAGCGACUCCUCGUAUUUGGCCUUCUUAAUCUGUUUCCUCCUCUUCCUUUCCUCCGCCUUCUUCUGUGCCUUCAUAAUUUUCUCCAUCGCCUCCCUCUCUGCCCUCACUCUUGCUAACUCUUCUCUCCGCCUCUCUGCCAGCUCCUUCCGUGCAUUCUCAAGCUCCAACACACGCUUUGACUUGGGUUUGGGCUUCUCCAUUGACAGAAAGUGGCCUGGAAUGUUUACCAACCACCCCAAAUAGGGGGUGGGGACUUCCGGCUUCCGGACCGGGGGGGUAUAUGCAUUGAUGCAAAAAGAAUCCAACUCGAGCCGAUCCCAGGACUCCCAAAACCUCUCAUCCCUCUCGGCCGCCGGCAGCACCGCCCGAAGGACCCUGGAAUCAUCGAGGACGACGAGCACCAGGUUCGGCCGCAGCUUCAAGGUGACGGAAGGUGGCUUCACGAUAUGCCGGAGCUUCCCUUCGUCCCUAAGGGUCAAGAUUUCGGUAUAUGGAAUACGGUCGCCGACAGUGGGGAGGCCGCGGGACCAGGAUUUGAGCUCCUCAGGGGAAAGGGUCUCCGCCGGGCGCUUUGGCCUCGGCUUCUUCUCGGUGACCCCAGCGUGAGCACGUGGCAGCGGAAGCGAGGAGGAGAUGACGGUCAUGGUGACGGAGAGCUGGAGCAACAUGGUGCAAUUCUUCUUGGCUUCCUCCUCAUUCUGGUCAUCUAGCGGUGGAUUGACGGAAUUGCGUGGAACGAAACAUUUGCGCGGAAUCGAGCGGAAAGGGGCUUUUGGUGGGGAUGGGGCGAGGGGGAGGGAGGAGAAUAGGAGAGAGCUCGAUGCAGCGAGCUCCAUGGUCCAGGAGGGGCACCGAGAAGAGGGUUUGGAUCACAUCGACGAAGCAAUAGCGUCUCAACCGAGGAAGGAUGGGAACGGCUGCGGAUAGAUCACAGCCAUUUGUGCUCGCUGUGAUUCGUGUAGGAAACUUUAAACGUUGGGCCCGGCCCAUCAAAGGCCCCGUCAAAGAACGAGCUUCGUUUCAAAACGGUAUUCUUUAUGUAUCUGUUACAUUAUAUUAAAACGGCACAUAAUUCAUGAUUGUUUGAUAUGACCGUUAUAUAAUAUCCGAUAUAUCCGAUAUUACUAACGGUCCUCGUAACGCUAAGAGGGAGAAGUGAGGUGGGAAUAAGGGGAGAGAGAUUAGCGCUGCGAGGAUUGGCGAUGGCUCGCGCUCUCCUAUCUCAGUUGCUCAUCCUCUCCGACCGCCCCCCUCGCUUCUCCACAUCGAUCAUGUCCGUGCUUCGCCAUUACUGCGUCUGCUUGGGUUUCUUCUCUGUCUUUUCGGAUUUCGAUCUUCCAAGUCGGUGAACUUAUUUCUUGGUAAAUCGAAACAGCGGCCGUGGUCGAGAUCUCACAAGAACCCGAGGAGCUGUCCCGUCUCGUUUCCCUCUCUUGCCCGGCUUGGACUUUAGAUGCAACUGCACCGCUUCCUCUCCUGUGGCCGAGGCCCCCGGGGUUUCUCCCAGCCCUAUUAGGUAAGCGUUUGUGAUAUUAUCUUUGUUGUUGGACUGCUCAGAUGCUGUUCCGGGUGUCCCAUGUGAUUUUUACGGUUUAACAUUAACAUUGCUUCCUGGUGCCUUUCGAUGGAAAAAGGUCUAAACUUUGAUCCAAGAAGAGCUUUUUCUGGUCUAAUCAAGUCAAUUGUUUAUAGUCGUAUAGACUGUUAGUGGUUAGUGACUGAUGAACUUAAUCGAUAAAUAUUUCUUUCCAAAGGAAUCAAUUUGGAGCUUCCUUGGGCUCAUUGAAGCUUUCCUAAUUCAGUUUUGAGUCUCGCCAUCUUUAUAGCGUUUCAUCUUUCAAUGUCUUGACUAUGGUCAUUCUGGUAAUGUACUUACAGUUUGUCUCCGUAUAUGUCUGUUUAUUUAUCUAGUCAGUCAGUAGGAUCUUAUUAUAUAAUAUGUUCUACUAUUAACUAUAUUGAUGCAAACAUAAUUUUCUGGUCAUAUCCAAUUCCAAUAAUCAAAUAUUUGAACUAUUCAGUGUUAAGAACUCUAACUUCUAUCUAAAUCAGUAAAUCUCAGCAUUUCACCUGGGUUAAUUUGAUUGCCUUUUUCUUGAUGCUUCAGACAUUGUAUGCACCAGUAUAUUGCUCUUUGACCUUCUCUAGUGAAUAGUCUUCUGACCUUUAGUAUCAUAAGGAGAGAAUUCCGUCGAUGUUUCUACUUAGAGAUGUUCAAUAUUCUUUCUUACAAGCAUUUCUUUUCUGCAAACUAUUGUUGAAGUUUGAGAUGCAAGAAUGUAGGACCCAAUAGAUUUGGUGCUUUUGCAAGGUAACAUUGGUUCUGCUUGACAUGUUUAGUCAGUGAGAUCACAGUAGAUACUAAUGUUUGUUAACAGCAUCAUCAUAGGAAUUAUAUAACUUUAAGCAAUUGUUCUCCUGAUCUAUCAUGAUGAACUGAGAAAUCUUUUCGAUGAUUUGUCUAACCUAUGCUAGGAUCAUAUUGAGAAUCUUAGAGAACAAAUAGAUUUAAGAAGACUAUAUAGUUCCCAAGUAGUUUAAAAAACUAAUGACAAAACCAAUCCUGAACUUACAGAAAAAUUGAAAAAUCUAUUUCAUUGCUGUAUACUUAGCAGCUCGAUUAUGAAUUAUAGUUUAAAAAUUUAAUGACAAAAAUCUAUCCAGAAAUCACAACAAUUUUAGCAGCUUGAGGAUGAAUUGUUGGCAUUAUGAUGAAAAAUUACACAGUAAAACUGAUGCUAGUGUUAUGCAUGAACAAAUGCAAAAAAUUUAGAUACUUUCUCUUGUUUAUAUUGAUGAAAAGCAGCAGCUUUGGCUAUCAUAUAUACCAUGAGAUUGCUACUUUUUCAUGUAACCUAUUGAAGUACAUUUUGCUGCAUCUUUUAUGUGUGAUUGCUACUUUCUCAUGUAACCUAUUGAAGUACAUUGUGCUGCAUCUGUUUUGUGCGAUUAACUUGGUUUCUGAAUGCUUUAACAAUCAGGAAAAGGGUUGUUUCUGGGGUCCAACCUACGGGAUCAGUACACCUUGGAAAUUACCUUGGUGCAAUUAAAAAUUGGAUUCUCCUUCAGGUUAUUUCACUUUCUUUCAUUAUUAUCUUAAUCUCAAGUUUUUCAGAUGCAAAGUUGACAGCUAUUUAAGGAUGAUUGAACUAAAGAAUUAUCCUGAUAUAUCUAUGUGAUGCAUGAUCUUGCUUAUAAGCCACUUAGAACUAAAGUCCUAUAUUUUCGUUAGUAUUAACUAUCACUAAAUUACUCAAUUUAAAUCCGAAUAUGGAAUUCGAUCAUAUGGUACAAAUAUUGUGGAAUGAUAAAGAAUCAAUGCUUCCUGCUCUAGUAAUUCUGUAACACAAAAUAAACUGUAUGUAUUAUGUGUUACAGUGCUUAGUACUUUUAGUUUCUGUUACUUCCGCAGUCUUCCUUGCAUGGUUAACAGCAUUACACUACUCCUGGUCAUGAUUUUAGUUUCUGUUCUCAUGUACAUUAUCAUUGUCAUGGGUCCAUGAUUUUGCCAAGUGUAUGCCAGUACACCCUUUUGCAGAUUGUUGGCUUGUAUUGGUCACAUGAUAAUGGUGUAGGGUAUGGCAUCUAAAGUUGGAUCUUUUUUUAAUUUUCUGCUGCUUCAAUAAGCAUGUAUGUUUUGAAGAUCAGAAUUUCUGAAUGACUUAAAAGAAAGAGCCAUUGUUCAAUACUUUUACAUGUUGGCAUAAUGAUGUUAUUUUCCUGAUCUUGCUAUCUGUUGCAGGAUACUUAUGAUACACUCUUCUUCAUUGUAGACUUACAUGCAGUAAGUUUCCUUGGAUCCUUGACUUUUUAAUCAUGACAUGAACUUAGUACUGCUACCUGGUCUAGUAUAAGAGUAUCUAAUAUCUCAAUUAUAACUCCUUUUUUGUUGUAGAAUAUUAUUCUGAAUUUGUUAACGUAAAUAUCAUUUACCUUGCUAAGACUUUCUCUUAAAUUUGGCUGAUUUCAAAAUUGUUGAUCUUUUGAUGUCUUUUACAGAUCACACUACCAUAUGAUACCCCAGAGUUGUUGAAAGCAACAAGAAGUACAGCUGCUAUAUAUCUAGCUUGUGGUGUCGACCCACUCAAGGUCUAUGAAUGUCUUUACUAUUUGUAGUUGAUAUCUUUUGUUAUUUUCAUUUUCCAUCCAGCGUUUUAGAGGUACUGUCUGCAUUUUCAGGCUUCAAUAUUUGUGCAAUCUCAUGUCCGUGCUCAUGUGGAGUUGAUGUGGCUGCUCAGUUCUGCUACACCACUUGGUUGGCUGAACAGGAUGAUCCAAUUUAAAGAAAAAUCUCGGAAGGCGGUGUGUGCCGCUGUCACAGGCUUUAUCACUUUUUUUAAAAUUUUCUUUUCUAAUAUAACGUUCUACUAAUUUGUUUUACUUAUUUUAACUUCACUAUUUUUACAUAUCUAUUUGGAUUUAUUGUUUACAAUAAUUAAAUGUCAAAUAUCAGUUACAAUUUUAUAUUUAAUGGUGAAAAUUUUACUUUCAUUAGUGACCCAUUAUCUGAAAUGUAUAUGAAUACAUAUGACAGUAGAUAGAGAAGCUGCUUGACAAUCUAGACAGGCAUUCCAAAUCCUAGUAUCAUCUUUUGAGUCCUUAGGUGGAUAUCAUGCACCAUAUAUGUGGAGCACAGUAGAAUUCAUGUGGGGUGGGACUUCAUGUGCAUUCCAGGGAGAGAGAGGGAGUGUGCAGAACUUUUAGUCUAUUUGUUUAAUGAAUCACCGGAGAAAUAUAUUUGGAACCCUUAUUUAUUUUUAUGUGCUGCUUCUUCAAAUCUGAUACCUAUGUGAAGUGUCAUUCUUCUAUUCAUAGGGAAAUGUCUUAUCUUCUUUAGGUAGUUCCUUAAGAGAUCUUGCUACUUUAUGUUCACUUAGCAGAAACACAAACCAGCACAGAUGUGUUUAGGUUUGCGUGUACCAAUGCAUGUUUAAGAAGAUUGUUGAGGAAUCAUUGAGAGGAAACCAUAAGUUAGGUGUGAUCAUCACAUACCCAAGUUGCUUCUGGUCCAGGAAGAAGAGUCUCUCAAGCAUUUUCUGUAAUUGUAAUGAAGGGAAGACCUAAGUUUGAGACUGUUCUACAAUUUUAACUCAUUUUGAAUCCUUUUAAGAACUGAUACUGAGUUCCUAUUGAUACAUAUUGAUCACAUAUUAUGCAUUUUUCAAGUACUACUAUUCAUUAUCCAGAAAAUGCAUAAAACUGUAUAUGAAAAGUGAAUGGUUUUGGUUUGAUAUCUGGAGAAUAGGACAGUGAUUUUAGGAAAAUUGCAUACCUACAUGCAAGUUUGUGCCCAAUAUGGAUGCGGACUUCCUUUUGCAAAUAUAUGAAUCUGUAUUUAUAUAUUUCAAGCAAUCUUCUGGAUAUCUAUAUGUUACAUUCUCCAUUUCACAAAAAUUGCAUGAGUUUGAUACUUUGCUGUGUAUGAAAAUAAGAUAAACGGUGCUUUUUUCUUGAAGCAUUUGAACUAAACUUACUACUCUUUGGUAGGGUGAUGAGAAUGUCGGAGUUUCACUUUUAACUUAUCCUGUCCUAAUGGCUUCAGAUAUUUUGUUAUAUCAGGUAAAUUAUCGUCCCAGUUGUAUAUCUUCAGGGGCUGUUUUACUAUGAAUAAUAAUAUGUAGUUGGAAAUGACUUAGCUCUGUUAGAUUUUGAGACUAUAUUAUACUAAAUAUUUGGCUUUUAAGCUAAUUGGUUCUAUUCCUAGAAUUUUUCAAUAUGGACAACGUGCUAUCAAUCUAUCAAUCUGACAUUUAAUGAUCUGUCACACUAUUCUUGGUCAUGUUCGUGCAGACUGAUUUGGUACCAGUUGGUGAGGAUCAGAAACAACAUUUGGAACUUACUCGUGAACUAGCUGAACGCAUAAAUUAUUUAUACGGAGGAAGGAAGUGGAAGAAACUGGGGGGGUAGUAAGAUUUAUUUUCUUAACACGUUUAAUUCAGUGCCAACAAUGAACCUUUUUCUUUUUUUUUAUUUUCACCGUAAUCUGAUGGUCAGUAAACUAUUUGCAGGAGAGGUGGUACACUGUUCAAGGUUUCUUUUUUUCUUAAUGGAACUGAAUUUUUCACAUCGAGCUUUCGAGCAUAUUGUCUUUGUUGCUUCCUGUAUCAAUUUUCUUGACAUCAUCUAUCUAUUCUUAGGUUCCUGAAGCCCUUAUUCCACCUACUGGGGCCCGGGUGAUGUCCUUGACUGAUGGUCUUUCAAAGGUAAAAAUUUUCUGAAAGCAUUUCAUCGAGGCUUAUGAAACAAUCUUUAUGAUAUCAAGUUAGACAAAUGGUACCCAUGUUCUCAGAUGGGUUCAAGCUUAUUUGCUGAUACUCAGUAGACCCUUUAGACCUGUUGGUUUUCCUCCAUUAUUUCUCUGCUUGUAGUGUGAUAUAAAAUCUAUGAUUUUCACUUGUUGUGGUUGAUAGAUGUCGAAGUCUGCUCCUUCAGAUCAGUCUCGGAUCAAUCUUCUUGACACAAAAGAUGUAAGGAAUUGAUGCCAGAUAGGAUGAUUCUCUUACUGAUGAGCUGUAUCUUGCCUUGCAUUCUCAUUGCUAUUUUAAAUUGAUGAUUUAAUAUUUCUUGUCUGCUAAGAAAAGAGGAAAUGCUGAUGAAUUAGAGGUGCAUUUGGAAGAAAACAUGAUACAUAUGCUUGAACAUAGAAGUAGAACACACGAUAAGGGUUCUGACAUUGAAGAACUUCGGUGGCAUAUUUACUGUUGGAGUUCACUUCUGCCUUUUCUCAUUACUCCUUAGUCUUCACAGCUCAUGGUUUGCUCUUUGUCUUAUUCAUGUUAUUCUUGUGAGCUAUUAACAAGCAUAAUCUGAAGCAUUCUUAAGUUUUUAAAGUGUGCAUAUUCCUUUCCUGUCCAAUAUUAUUUCUAGCAAUAAUUUCAAAUAACUUCUAAAGGGAGCAUCGCAUUUGGUCCUUCAUCAUGUCAGAUUAAUAGGUUUGGACGUUAAGUAGAUGACUGGAAUUUCAACAUAAGCUAUUUAUCUUCACGUCAAUAAAUAGAUGGACUAAAAACAUGUAUAUAAAAUUUUGAGACUAGUUUGGCCUUCUACUUUCUUCAUAUUCCUUUUAAUUAACAUAAAUGUGAUGUUGAAUAACCAUGUAGCACUAGUAUUUUAUUAAACAUAAUUGUUAUUGAGUUUUAUUUUGUUGCCUCUUUGAAAGUUUGAGUGGUCUAUUUUCCUUCUCUGAUUUCAGAAAUGUUCAUUUUUGUUUAUAGGUAAUUGCAAACAAGAUAAAGCGUUGCAAGACCGACUCACAUCCUGGGUUUGGAACAUAAAACCUUCUGAAAUUUAUUUGGUUGUAGUUGUCCCUUGAAUGCAUUUCCUUGUGUGAUCAACACCAGCAACUGGACUUUGGCUUGUUUCAGUUUUUAAUUCUUGUUAGAAGCCUGAAUUUGUUUCUGUUUUUUUUCCUAUGUUCCUGAUUGAUGUCCCUGUAGAUGAAUUUGCAUAGGCCAUUCUAUGGCAGACUAGGGAUCUACCGUUUACAACAAGCCUUUUUUGUUGUAUGGUAGUGGGCAAGGUCAAGGUCCUUGGUGCAUACCGUUACUGAUGAUUUUUUGUGCCUAUUAAAGAGUUUAGAAUUCCUGUUAGUUGUAAAGUAUCUUCCAUACUUGUUUAGAAAGAGAUAACAGAUCUAAGUGCUUCAUAUGGGUAAUUAAACAUAAACCUUCAAUCGCGAUUUGACAAACCAGGUGGAGCAGUACAUAUCACCUGGUGCAUACUGGUCCGCCUGUGGACCAACAUAGGAUUUUGGAUGGUCCACUUGCGCACAAGGUUUACUAUUUAGUAAGCUUGGUGAAUCAUGCGUACUGUCUGGUCCAGACCUGGUAAUGAGCUUGGACCAGGUGGUAUGUCUUUUUACCUAAUAAAAAACCUAAAAAUAAUCCUCUCUCUCAUGUACUCAUGCAUGUAUCCUUUGUAGCCUUACCGCCUUCUAACCCAUGUCUGUCAUCAGCCACUGUCACCGCAGCCCCCACUUCUACCGAAUCAGUACUUCUCUUCCACCUCUGCCACCUCCUCCUCUUCUUCUCCACCAAAAAAAAAAAAAAAAUCCUUCUAUGUACCAUGAUAUCCAUUGUACUUGGUAUCAAUUUUCUGAAACAAACAGAACCUAUCUUUUUAACAAUCUUAAAUAUCUAAUCUGCUUUGUCCAUAGAUUAAGAUUGAAUUAUAUAUAUCGAGUCAACAAUAAACAUUCUAUAAAGUUUCUCCAACCAAAGUUGUCUUGCCAGAUGCUAAUCUCUGAUUCUGUUUGCAGACACAUUCCUUGGUUUAGGACUGACUACCAAUCCCAGACAAAAUGCUAAAAAUUCCUUCAAAAUAGUAAGAUACUCGGGGCUUCUUAUUGACCAGAAGAAAUUAUUGGAUUGGUAGGUAGAGGAUGGGCCUCUUAAUGCAGAAGUCUGUUUUCUCAGAACCUUUUUUAGUACGGCUUCUGGCAGAGGCUGUUUUGGCAACAAACUAGGAUCAUCAUACAUUCGAGGUCUAUUCCAGUCAUUCAGUUGAAGUUUGUUGUUCAUUGACAACUAGAUCCUUGAUAAUUGCCUACAUUCUUCAGUUGCUGAAUCUUUCACAAUUAUGUCUUCCAUCUUACAAUAGAUGAAGCUGUCUAAUGAAUGCUCAAAGUCCAAUACUUACACUGCUUUAAUACUUUUGAUACUGGGAAUAUGUUACAUUUAUAUAUUUGCCUCAUGAUGGAUGAUCAUGUUUGUAUAAUGACUUAAUGCUAUGCUCGAUAUAGAUCCUUCUACUUAUCCCAAUUAAUAAUCUGAGACAAAUUUAAUUGGUCUUACCAACUUCCAGAUUGGAAUUUGAUAAUCCAGAAAGACCUGAAUGCAAUAAUCUUCUAUCCAUCUAUCAGAUUAUUACUGGGAGGACGAAAGAGGUAAAUUGUCAUAUAUGUAUAUGGUAGAGCUACCUGAAUCUUAUAUUUAAUGUGCAUAUUCUGUUCUCUUAUUGCCAUAUGUAUGGAAGUUUAGUGUUUGUGAGAAAUUUUCAUGAAACGUAUUGGCAAUUUUUCCAUAUUUACAGGAAGUUGAACAUGAAUGCCGAGAUAUGAACUGGGGAACAUUCAAAGCAACCCUCGCAGAUGCUCUAAUUGAUCAUCUACUCCCAAUUCAGGUUACAUUUGGAUAUCAUUACACAAUUGUUUGGUACGACAUUGCAUACAUAUCCAGUUAUAUACGAUAUUGUGCUGUCACAAUACUUAUAAAAGGUUCUCGUGCGUGAAAAUGAUUUCUGAUAGUGAAUAAGUCCUGAUGCACAAAUGCUUUCUUUCACGUGAAUGAUUCAUUUUUGCAUUGAGUAGAAAAUAUGAGCUCGAACGCAACUACUGAUUGUGGUUCUCUUCCCAGGCUCGGUACUCGGAGAUCACCUCUGAUCCAGCAUAUCUGGAUCAGAUUUUGUCAGAGGGGGCUAGAAAAGCCGCCGAUAUAGCAGAAACCACUCUCAAUAAUGUCUAUCAAGCUAUGGGGUUCCUGCAGAGAUAGUUUUGUUCCAAGAUAACUUCAGUAGCUUCGGAUGCAUUUGAAGGGGAACCGUCAAGUUAAAUUGUGACUGUGCUUUGAAUUCUCCAGGCAAUUCACUGCAUAAGUGCUGAGUUAUCCUCUCAUUCUUCGAACAAAGAGCAGCAUUCAUGAUUAGUCCACAGCAGAUGACAAAAUUCUUGUGUACUGAUAAUCAUAGUUUUGUGUUUGACUUGAUGCAGCAGUAAUUUAUAAGUAAAAUUAUCAAAAUUUAAGGGUCAUUCCAUAAAUUAUUUGGUAGAAAGGCACUUGUGAUUUUUAACCUAGAAAAGCUGUAUCCUCGGAAUUAGCUGGAAAUAUGUAUUGGUACUUGCAAUUCUGUAAUUGAACCCUUUGCCUCAGUUUAUUAAUUGUAAACUGGAUAUUUUGUUUUACAAUUUGCGGACAUUGCAAUGGUGCUUUCAUUUUGGAUAUCCCAACUUUUAUCAGUAUGUGCAGUAAAUAUUGACGAGAAUUUUAUCCCGAUCGAAAAUCUCUUCCUGUGCGCCAGCAUGGUGGGUAGAAGAUUUUUUUUUCCUUUAUUUUUUUCAGCUUUGAGCAGUGGAAAAAUAAAUAAAAACGGAUGAAAACAAGAAACUUAGAUGCAACAAAAGUUGAUGUUCAAAAAUCAUAUCCAAUAAAUUUUUGCACAUAUAUUGCAUGUAAAAAAAGUUGGGGGUGGGUUCAAAGUCUUAUUCGGUAAUUGAAAAAUAAUAAGAAUUUUUAUUAUUUAUUUGAGUUAAUCUAAAACAUAAGGAGAGGAAAAUUUUGGAGUUAUUCCAACCCUCAAAUCCUAACAUGGCCAACAAGUUCGAUACCUAUCAUUUGACAAAGAUGGAUCAACAAGAUGUCUUCUCUUGUACUUCCUCAUCCACUUUUAGAGAUGCUGCCCUCGAUGAUCUAGCUAGAAAAAGCAAGGCAGGAAGACAGGAAUAGUUUGUGGCGAAAACGAAGGUGACCAACUUUUAUGAAGACGUGAGAUGCCAUGUGCAAAUACACUUAUGUUCGGAUAACGUCUAAAAGGAUUAGGAUUAUGUGUGAACCUAUAGAGUAGCCUGUUGCCCUUGUUUUAAUUGACUACUAAUGGGUGGGUGGGUUUCAUAUUUCAAUAGGUAAAUAUUUAACUUUCAUUUCAUUUUCAUGAGAAUUUCUUAAAUUCACAUUGAAAUAAUAUAUAUAUCAUUUUUAUUUUAAAUAAUAUAUUUUUCUAGUUACAAAAAUAUUUUUUGUAAUUCUAAAUACAAUUGAAGUAAUAUUAUAAUUGUAGAAUUAUUCUUAGUUAAAAGUUUACUAGUUGGCGAUCAUUGUUUUUAUUGUAACACUUAAUGUUGUCGCUGUAAUAGUAGCAUUCUUCACGCAAUUAUCUUAUUGUUAUUGUCAUCAUCAUGGAUAUCCAUGGAUAGUUAUUUCAUUGAAUAUCUUCUUCGUGUCACUAUCAUUAUCAUUAUUUGGUGGGCGACGGUAGUUUUCAUCAUCGAUGUCAUCACUAUCGAUAUUGUUAUUACGCCCACUAUCAAACAUGUUAUUGUACUUAUUUCACAAAAGAAAUAAUAACUUAAAAAUAGAGAUAAAAAUAAAUAUGAAGGUUACAACACUAUUUUCCUUGGGAGUAAACACAGCCCAAAAUUUGUUGCUUUGAUGACACCACCAUUAUUAUCAUUGCUAUCUAUGGUAAGAUCCUAGUAUUAUUUGUCAUCGUUAUCAUCAUCUCUAUCAUCAUCGUCGUUACCAUCUCUACUAUUAUUUCAUCAAAAAUAAUAACUUGAAAUUAGAGAUAAAUAAACAAAUAUGAAAAAUAUAAAAGUGGUUUCCGAGAACUAACCAUUCAUGUGCCAAUUUGCUGAUGCUGCUGCUGCUGCUGCUGCUGCUGAUGAUGAUGAUGAUGAUGAUGAUAUCGAUGCUUCUGGUCCUGAGGACGAGACGGAUGAAGGUUACACGCCCCUCGUGACAAGUUACAAUUUAUGGCGCACACAGGCAUUUUGUCAAACAGUUGGGGGACCAGAGCAGAUCGACCACCACACGGAGAGUGAGCCUUGACCAUAGACUUUGCGAGGCACUCCCGUGGCCUAAGCACGCGAGGGUGGACCGCCUCGGGCGCCCACCGCCCCCUACAGCCCGCCCGCCCUCCCUCCCUCCCGAUGCAUUGAAUCGAGUGCUUUUCCGGAGCUCCUCUUCAGUUCCCUCCAUCGAGCCACCAGCUUUUUCCACAGGAACUGUGAUCAUGAUGCCUGCCACAGCCAUCUCCUCCUCCUCCUCUUGUGAGGUCCCCAACUACUGCUGUCACAUUUCCCUUGUGUUGUGCUGCGUGACAUUAGGCUUAGCUCAUAGCCUACAUUAGUAUCACUCACUCUGCAGGCUUCAUUCAUUUUCAGAAAAUAUUUUCAUGUAUUUGGUAAUGUCACAGUACUACCAACACAGAGAGAGAGAGAGAGAGAGAGAAAGAGAGAGAUUCGGUGAUGAUUGUGUGCAUCUUUCCAGCUUCCAUGGACUGUUGAUCCGCCUACAAAACCUCAUGAUCACAAAAUUCAGAAUUAUGAUCUGUUUUCUCUUUGCUACUGUUUUCUUACAUUAUUUGAGAGCAUGGAUGGAUAUGAUUUCGUGUAGGAUCAGAUAAAAGUUGUAUUAAUGCCAAUAGUUUAGAUCCAUGAAAUAAAUAAAUGUUUUUGUCAUUGGAUCAGAACAUGAUUAAUUGGUAAUCAGAACUAAUUCAAUAUUAAACAGGAAAAGUUAUGAACAAAGCUAGAAGCACAUUAAAAGUAUGUAUAAUAAAGUCACCACCAAAUUGAAUCUCAUCUCAUGUAUGAUUGAUUAAGUAUAAUUUUGGAUUAUGAGUUAAAAACCUAAGCUUCUAAGUGGGAAAGACUGUUGAAUGACUAGAUAAUAAUGUUGGUAAUAAUUUUUUUAUAAUGAAAAGAAAAUUACGAAAAUUAAAAAAUUAAAAAAAAGAGAGGAUACUUUCAUUAUGGAGAUGGAAAAGGAUUGACAUGAACAAAUGGAUGGAUGGAAUUCUAGGAAGAACCUGAUCGAUUAAUCCAUAAAAGAUGUUAGAGAAGAGCACCCAACAAAAAUUCUUGAAAGAAAUAAUCACAAUACCAAGUUUAAGUUGGCCAAAAAGAGAGGAAGAAGAAGAG
Molecule: long non-coding RNA, 56686 nt
Filed under: Musa acuminata (dwarf banana)
Lineage: Eukaryota; Viridiplantae; Streptophyta; Magnoliopsida; Zingiberales; Musaceae
Description: long non-coding RNA (MACU_LNC001367)
Source: RNAcentral